AUGCUCUUGAUCUUCUAUCUUCAAUCCUAGCUUCAAUCCUUCAAUAGGAGCUCCUUUGGAUCUUCAAUUUGGCUUCUAAUGGAGGUUUGGGGCUGGUUUAUGCAGAAGAAACUCGGGAAAAAUCAGGAAAAACGAAGUUGGGGAAGUUUUCUCUCUCUUUCCUCAAAAUCAGCCCUUUUAUAGGAAGUUGCUGAAACUGGGGGGUGCACGGCGUGCACCUCCUUUUUUCAAAAUUUUUGCGUAUUUGAACGGGAGGAACACCGUGCAAGAGUGCACGACGUUCCCCUGCUUAAGGGCCGUGAUUUGAAAGCAUCCUAGGGGUGCACGGCGUGCAUAGGUGCACGGCGUGCAACCCCUCUACUCAUCCAUUUCAUUUCUCAAUCUUCCGUUCGAGCUCCAAUCGUGCUCUACUUCACGUUCAUUGCUUCAUAACAAGACCACCUAUCUCUAGAGUACCUGUGGACAACAAAUACUACAAAGAAACACAUCAAAUGGACCGAAACGGUCCAAAUGAACAGAUCUAAACCCAAUACGCCAAAACACGAAAUUGUAGAGAAAUGAAGUGCGAACAUGCUAAUAACCACUCAAAUGCGUGUAGAAAAAGGGUAGAUAAAUGCUACAAAUUCUAGCCCUAUCAGUACUUCAAUUAACAACUCUUGAACAUGAAUCUGGCAUCAACCAAGUCACCAAGCGCAGCGGGGUACCGCUGACAUGAGGGAGAAAGCAUUUCCAACCUUGUAACGACUUGCUUCUCAUGUAAUUCCUCGUGGAGGAAUUAUGAUAUCCUUGGUGCUUAAAUUUGAUUUGUAAAUAUGUGUGAAUUUAAAAUAUAAUGUUUUAGGACUAUGAUGACAUAAUGAGGAUUAGUGAUAUUGAAAUUAUGUAUUAAUUGGAAUAUUGAUGUAGCUUAAUCGAUGACCAUAAUGAUAUGAUGAGUUAGCGAAUGCUUGCUACGUGCAGUCAACUUUGGUUGGCAGUUGGGCUUCGUAGGAUUCAUUAAUCUGUAUAGGCAAUGAAGAGAAACGGCCCCACUGUCUUGUAGUGGAGUUUGGGAGUGUGUACCAACUGCAAAUUGCGGCCUAAUUGAUGUAGGAGUUUGGAGCAAGAGAAAUGGCUUUUGGAUUUGAUCUAGAAAGUCUUUGAGAAAUUGAAUUGUUUAAAAUUAUACGUUAGAUAUAAUACCUAAAAACAUGGGGUUAAAAUAACAAUUUACACCAAAAUCCUAAUAAUUGCGGCCAUUUAUAAAGCGACACAUGUGUAUACUAUAUGAUACUUAAUAUAGUACAUAUAUUAUAUUUUAUACAAAGCCAUAUGAAUGUGUAUACACUUCUGUAACAGUUUCUAUUAACCCUUUAUAUAUUUAUGCAAUCCGUACAACUCCAUAUAAAGUUGUACGGUCGGUCAUCAUGAAAAAUUUCUAUAAAGAUAAGAUCGAUAACGGUGAUAACAUGGUUGAAAGAAUUUUCCACAACAGAGGUCGGAUGAUAAAAAAACUGAUCGAGAAACUUUCUAGUCACUGGAGAUGGUGGUCCGGUCAUUGGAGACGGUGGUCCGGCGAUCAUAACAAGCGGUCCAAUAAUAGAAGAUGGCUGGUCUAACGAAAGUAUUUAAAACCACACGACCAUAUUACCCCUGAUUAAUUUAAAUCCUUAGAUUAAGUGGAGAUCUAAUUAAGGGCCUAGAUUGCUCGAAGGGAGCCAAUAGCUGCAACACGUUUCAGUUGCGAUCAUGGCAUGUAUAUUCAUAUGAUGAAGAACCGUUUGUACACGCACCAGAUUUAGUGAUGUUGUCGUUAGAUAGUUUCCAAAAUUAGCGGCCUUCAACUUAGGUGAGACCGAUAAUGUCAUUAUAAGGGUCGAGAAAAUUGUCGAUUACAAACUUCAAACCCAAUAUUUCUGAGAAUAAAAUCAAGUACUACAACUACUCGACUAAAAUUUAUUUUAACAUUAAAAAAUGAAAAAAAAUGAGUUCUCUCUCGAAUCCCCGUUUUCAAUUUUGCCUUCCUGUCCGGCCACCCAAAGCCACUCCUCUAUGUGACAAACCAAUGGGAGAUAGCUUGAUGCCCCUGUCUCCAUCUGAACUGCCUAACCAACAGCAAGGCCCCCGACCCCUUAUGUCCUAUGCCUAUACUCUUUCUCGAGAUCUUCAUACUAAGAUCCCCUCCACGAUGUCAGCCAUUACACUAGAGGUGAAUAACAUCGUUCUUAAUCGUAAGAAUGGUCACUGAUACUUGGAUACGUCUGGCGGCCUCCGAGCAAGCUCUGGAACGCCCUUAUUGUUUGGUUGAUGGGGAAGAACGUUGAUAUUCAAUAUAUGUAUGACGCCUAAAGGUGAUGUGGAAGUCAGAAGGAAGAAUGUUUAUGAUUGAUUUGGACCAUGAGGGUUUAUUGGUAUCUUUUUAUAUUCCUCAAGAUUAUGAUUUUGUGAUUACAGGAGGGCCAUAGAUGAUCUUUAAUCACUAUAUGGUAUGUCAUGGUUUGGAUACGUUUUUUCAUGCUUCUGCAGAUCUACCAUAAAAAUUGGUGGUGUGGGUUAGGUUCCCUCGGCUUCCUUUCCAAUACUAUCACAAGGCUAUCCUCGAUGGCUUAGGCGAUCUUAUUGGUUGUACCUUCAGGAUUGAUCGUCGCACCCUCAGCUCAGCUCGUGGGAAGUUCGCGCAUAUUGUUGUGGAAAUCAAUCUCAAAGAAGCUUUUGCGACUGGGUUGGCUCUUGAUGGUGUAUGUCAAGAAGUGGAAUACAAGAAUUUUCCUUCUCUUUGCUUUGAAUGUGGGUGCAUUGGUCAUAAAGUUGAGGGCUUAUUGGUACAUUUAGGAUUCUAGAAAAAAGGCUCAACGUUUUCAUUAAUGGUUUGAUUGUUCAUAUACAGGAAAUGAGAGGGACUAAGCGACAAGCUGCACAGCUGGAUUGCUGGCUGAAAGAGAGAGCUUGCAGCUCUUAAUAGAAUUUGCAGAAAGAACAGAGAAAGGACGUUGAGCUUUUUGAUGCAGGGUACAACGGUGACGUUUCACCCUUAUCUUCGUUGAUGAUGGAAUGCUCCGUUUCACUUAACUUGUUGGUGCAGAGAGGAAGAACGCACCGUUUCACUUAAGCGUUAAAGUGGAGGGAUUUUGGCGGGAAAUGAAAAUCAUUUCAUCAUCUAAUACCCCCCCUCAAGCUGGGGGGCACAGGUUGUGCAAACCAAGCUUGAAGAUGAGGUAGCUGAAGGGUGCUGGUGAUAGUGCUUUUGUGAGAACAUCAGCUACCUCAAGGCUGGUGGGGACAUGGAUGAGCUUCAUUAGCUUGCAUUGGACCUUCUCUCAAACAAAAUGACAGUCAAGCUCAAUGUGCUUGGUUCUUUCAUUAAAAACAACAUUCUUUGCUACAUGGAUUGCUGACUGGUUGUCCCAGAAGAUUGUUGCUGCUUGGUUGUGCUGAGCCUGGAAUUCUGAGAGCAGAUAGAGCAACCAUUGCACUUCACUGGCUGUGUGAGCAAGAGCACGAUAUUCUGCUUCACAUGAACUUCUGGAAAUGGUGGUUCGUUUCUUGCUCUUCCAGGAGAUUGGUGAAUUUCCAAGAAACACACAAUACCUUGUUACUGAUCUUCUUGUAUCUGGACAUGCUGCCCAGUCUGAAUCACUGUAGGCUUGUAAUUGUAGGCUUGAGGUGGAAGACAGUAGAAUUCCAGUUGUAGGAACUCCUUUCAAGUAUCUUAGAAUUCUUGUAACAGCUUUGUAAUGAACAUUUAAGGGUCUAGACAUGAAUUGGCUGACCUGUUGGGUAGCAAAGCUUAUGUCUGGUCUUGUGUUGUUUAAGUAGAUAAGUUUUCCUACUAUCCUUAUGUACAAUUCCAGAUUGUGGAAUUCAUCAUCACCAGUUGAGGACAAGUGUGUCUUGUAAUACAUUGGGGUAGCAACUGGUUUGCUUUCUAGCAUAUCUGCUUCCUCUAGUAGUUCCAACACGUACUUCCUUUGAGAAAGAUGUAUUCCUGAGACACUUCUUGUAACUUCCAAUCCCAAAAAAUAUCAUAGUUCACCCAAAUCCUUGAUUUUGAAGGCAUCAUGUAAUUGCUCUUUCAGUUUUAAAUUUUCUGUGAAGUCAUUUCCUCCCACAAUCAGGUCAUCAACGUAAACCAGAAUGGCUAUGAAUGACAUACCUGAACUUUUUAGGAAGAGUGAAUGAUCAAACUUGCUUUGAGUGUAGCCUAGUCAUUGCAAUUUGUCUGAAAGCUUGCAAUACCACUACCUGGAUGCUUGCUUUAGACCAUACAGUGACUUGAGUAACCUGCACACUGGUCUUUUUAGUGAACUGGUGACCUUCAGCCCUUGAGGAACCUUCAUGUAAACUUCUUCAUGCAGGUCACCAUGAAGAAAUGCGUUGUUUACAUCCAAUUGGUGUACAAACCAGUCUCUUGAGGCAACCAACGCAAGGAAGGUCCUUAUAGUGGUCAUUUUGACUACUGGUGAGAACGUUUCUUGAUAAUCAACUCCUUCCUCUUGUGUGAAUCCUUUGGCUACAGUCCUUGCUUUGAACCUUUCAACAGAUCCAUCAGACUUGUACUUGAUCCUGUAAACCCAUUUGCUACCAACUUCUUUCUUCCCUUCAGGUAGGUCAACUAUCUCCCAUGUUCCGUUGGCUUCUAAGGCCCUUGUUUCCUGAUUCAUUGCCUCAGUCCAUCUAGGAUCCCUGGCAGCUUCUGCAUAAGACCUUGGUUCCUUUUCUGCUAUUAUACUUAGAGCGAAAUGUUUAUGUUCACAAUCCAGAUCAUCAUAAAACAAGACAGUAUUGAGAGGAUGAGCCAUUCUUCCAGCUUUAUGUGUUUUGGGACAUACCUUUGGAACAACAUGAUUGGUCUUGCUUUGCUGCACAAGGAGCUGACAGUGAUAGUCCUGCAUAUAGGAGGGUGGCUUGUGAGGUCUGGUGCUUUUUCUGUGGUGUGGAGAUUUUGAGUUUUGAGGGUCAGGUGAUUGUGGUGGUGCAUGUUGGUUAGCGUCACUGUCACUGUCACUACCAGGAAUGUAGUCAUCCUCAUUGUGAGUGACUGGAUGUGGUUCAGGUUCUGGUGUGGAAGGAACAGAAGGGUUAACAAGAUGAGUAGGACUUGGUGGAUCAGUGAAAUCCAUUUCGACGGAUGGUAGUGUAUCAGCGGAAGAUGUAGCUUGAUCAGAAGAAGGGGACUGAUCCUUCUUAGUAUCGUUGUGAUCAGUGUGAAAGGGGAAUACACUUUCAUAGAAGUGCACAUCUCUAGAGACAAAGGUUUGGUGUGAGUCUAGGUCAUAAAUUUUGUACCCUUUAAUGUCAGGCACAAAACCUAUGAAGAUUCCCUUCCUAGCUCGUUUUUGGAAUUUGGUUCUAUGUCCAGCAAAGGUGCUGGCAUAACACAGACUUCCAAAGACCCUUAAUUCGUCUAGUUUAGGCUUGGAAUGGUGAAAAGCUUCAUAGGGAAUUUUGUUGUCAAGUAGGUGAGUAGGAAUUCGAUUCAUCAAAAACAUAGAAUGCUUGACACAAUCAGACCAGAAGGUUAAAGGGAUGUUGGCUUGAAAUUUAAGGGCUCUAGUAAUGUAUAGGAUUUGCUGGUGUUUUCUUUCAACUUUACUAUUUUGCUGUGGUGUUUCAACACACGACAUUUAAUGGAGGAUUCCAUUUUCUUGAUAGAAGAGGGGCAUGAAAAAUUCCCUCCCCUGAUCACUACGUAUACGUUUGAUACUGGUUUUGUAUUGGUUGGAAACAUGGGAACAUAAAUUUUGCAGAGAUGAUCUAGCUUCUGAUUUUAACUUUAACAUCAUGAUCCAUGUCAUGCGUGUGAAGUCAUCAAUGAUGGUUAGAAAGUAGAGGUAACCAUCGUAUGAGGGGCAAGCAUUAGGACCCCAGAGGUCGACAUGAAUCAAAUCAAAAGGAGCUUUAGUGCUGGAAACACUGUGAGGAAAAGAUAAACAUUUUUGACGAGCAAAAUGACAAACAUCACAAGGAGCUAAGUGGAAUGUCUCUAUACUGGAAUGGAGCUGCUUAAGGAAAGGGGUUCUAUGAUGGGAAACGUGUCCUAGACGGUAAUGCCAUAAAUCAAAGGGUUUAUUUCUUUGAGUGGAAGCGAUGUGACUAACUGGUUUGCAGGCUAUCAGCUUGUAGAGGCCCUUGUGUAGUUCAGCUAAACCAAUCGUGGUGUUCCUCGAUAGGUCCUGUAAUACACAAUGCGUGGAAGAAAAGGUUAGUCUCAAUGGUUGUUGAGCUGUGAGUCUGCUAACUGAGAUUAAGUUGAAUGCAAAAUCAGGAACAUAUAGAACAUUUUCCAGUGACAAAGUCUCAUUGAUCAACACUGUCCUAACAUGAGUGACUUUCACUUGCUGUCCAGUAGGCAGUGUGAUCAUUAAGGCAUCAAUCUGUUUACUUGAUGUCAUUAGGUUCAGUGAGCUAACGACAUGGUAUGAGGCACCUGUGUCUACAAUCCAAACAACUUCAUUUGGUGGUGUAUGCACAAAACUACCACAACAAAACUUGCCUGCUGAGUACAUAAGUGUAGUUGGCUUAUGAGCACCUGGUGUUUGAGAGGUAGAUGAUUGGACUGCUGUGUCCUUGACCCUGACAACGUUCAUGAGUUGAGAAAAUUGAUCUUGUGUGAGUUGGAUAAUGCUUCCUUCACCAGACUGUGUGGCUUCAUGAAUCUGUGGCUUGUAGGUCACAUGAUUUGGAGUGAAAGGAGGUCUGGAAACAUUCUGUGGCCUUAGUCCUGGCUGUGGCAUGGGCCUAGGUGUGACCCCUGGAGGGAAGCCGUUCUUGAAGAAGCACCUUUCCACUGUGUGGUUUUGCAUUUUGCAAAAGGCGCAGAACAAUGUCCUUCCUUUCUGAGGCGCUUGUCUAAAACCUCCUUGUUGAUUAGUCUGCUGACCUGCAUAGUUGAUGUUGGAUGAUGGAGCCAGCAUGGUCAUGGAUUCAUUGGUACUUUUGAGCUAUGUUCCAUACAGUUGUCUCUCGUGUUGUAUCAUGCAUUGAACAACCUUAUCAAUGUUUGGAAGUUUAUCACCAAACAGAACUUGUGUGCGAGGGCCAGCAAAAUUCUCAUUGAGCCCUCUCAAGAAAUGUAUGACAUUGUUGGUGUCCUCAUACACAUACACCUUUCUCAUUCCUAGGCAAUCAAGGUGACUAGUUGCAGUACAGUCACAGUUGAACAAUGGUUGGUAGUUCUCAACUUAUCCCUGAGUGUGAUGAUAGAUCCAUAAUACUCAGUCACAGUUUGGUUACCUUGUUUGAGAUUUUAAGUUGUUCCAGUAGUUCUGCAAUCCUGAUGACGUCUCCUUGACCAUAACGAGCUUUCAAACUUUCCCAGGCAUCUUGUGCAUUCUUCAGCCCCAUGAUCGUCUUCCUAAUGCCUGGCUUGACUGAUUGUUGCAACCAGCUCAAAAUCAUGAUGUUGCAGCGAGUCCAGGGCCAGAACAUCGGAUCAUGACCUCUGGUUCCUCUAUGCUUCCAUCGAUGAAUCCAACUUUGUUCUUGGCUCCAAGCGCAUUAUGUAUCGCUUUGCUCCAGUCAGUAUAGUUGCUCGUGGUGAGCUUUUCAGUGACAAGUGAUUGGCCUGGCUGCUCACUACCAUGGAGGUAGUAAGGAUCAUCCAGAGGGUAUUCAGCUGCUGCCAUGGUUACUCUCAACCUCGCUCUGAUACCAUAUUAGUUCAUUUAGGAUUCUAGCAAAAGGCUCAACGUUUUCAUUAAUGGUUUGAUUGUUCAUAUACAGGAAAUGAGAGGGACUAAGCGACAAGCUGCACAGCUGGAUUGCUGGCUGAAAGAGAGAGCUUGCAGCUCUUAACAGAAUUUGUAGAAAGAACAGAGAAAGGACGAUGAGCUGUUUGAUGCAGGGUACAACGGUGAUGUUUCACCCUUAUCUUCGUUGAUGAUGGAACGCUCCGUUUCACUUAACUUGUUGGUGCAGAGAGGAAGAACGCACCGUUUCACCUAAGCGUUGAAGUGGAGGGAUUUUGGCAGGAAAUGAAAAUCAUUUCAUCAUCUAAUAGGGCUGUCCUCGAAAUCAGGAACCUCCUUCAACGGGGAACAUAACUUUAGGUCCUAUUACUCCAGCCUCCGGGUGGCUCAUCGGUGACUAGAUGAUACUCUGACCGGCGGCUCUCAUCCGAAACUCGGACCCUGGUUGACCUACCAGAAGAAAACAUGGAAAGUAAAGAGAAAGAAAUCUCCACCGGCACAAUCUAUGCCAACGGCUAGUGCGUUAAGCAAGAAAGGAAAUGAGCAAAUCUUUCACCAAAGGAAAAAGGAAGUUUUUGCAACGAAAUUUGGUCCAAAAAAUCAAUCUAAGGAUUUCAAUGGAGUCAGGGAAACUUCCGGUACUUCACAUCCAGCUAAGAGUGCAGCGCAGGGGAAGACUCCUAAGGCUUCCACCUGAAUCCCAUUGUAAAGGAUCCGGAGGCCCAAUCAGUAAAGGUUCAUCCUCGUCCCUCCACUAAGUCAAAGGUUGUUACUGGAUCGAGCCGAAUCCCAACAGCCUUAUGGACUUCCAAUUUGAAUCAGACCUGAGCUAGGGAUAUGGGGAAAAUAUCGCUUACCUUCUCGGCUCCAAGCAUCCAACAAGAUCAGAAUUCUUCUUCGAUUUCAGCGGUCAUUGUUUCCCAGAAUUUACCAGCCACGAGUUUAAGUAUGUCUAAGGGGACCAAGAUGGAUAAUACUAUGGUUGCUGAUCCAGCUUCUCUCCCAUCAAUUAGUGUUUUAGGGCAAAAAUUUGCUAAUAGCACACCUAUUAUUCCGUUAUCGGCCGCGACCCAAGCUUUGGACAGCACUAUAUCAAUUUCCCAACAAAUCAAACGUACUUAUAACACGAGGUCUACCAAUGAAGGCCUUCCUUCCAAGGGCGUUCAAGGAAUUGAUCAAUUAUGUAAUAAACCAGUUACCAAACUUGAGAAGCGGUACCUUUCCAAAAAAAUGGUGCCAAAACUUUAAUUGGAGGGGUUUGAGUUUGAGUUCGUGGUUAAGAAGUCUAAGGCUACUACUCUAGCUCAAUUGAGGAGUGGUUCUAUUACGGAACUGGGGUACCAGAAGCCAACAAUUUUCGAUCUUAAUCGGGAGAUGACUGAGGAAGCUGAUACGAGUGAAAUGCUUGAUGAAAAGGGUGUUGCGGAGGUCUACGAGAUCCCCACCACUGUUGCCUGAUCUUUGGGUUUCUUCAUCCCUUUUCUUUUUCCUCCUCUUUUAAUUUCCCUAUGUUUAGUUUUCUUUCUUAGAACUACCGGGGAGCCGGCCAUAAAAACUUUGCUUAAUAUUAUUGCCACGUGCACAAGCCUUCCAUUGUUGCAAUUCUUGAACCGCGCAUCAGUGGCUCUACGACAGCAGUGGUUAUCAAGAAACUUCCUUAUUCAGAUUCCUUUGUCAUUGAUGCAAUUGUAGGUGAAAUCUGGGUCCUUUGAAAUAGCGGGGAUAUGAAGAUCGAGAUCAUUUUCUCUACCACCCAGGUGGUUCAUGCUUGUAUUACUAAAGACGAUAGUCACUUCUGCCUUGUCCCUUUUGUAUAUGGUGUCCCACGAAGACACACACGUUGGCCUCUAUGGGAAGAGCUUGUUGCCUUUAGUCGUACUACCAAUCACCCAUGGCUUGCUUUGGGCGACUUUAACGCUACUCUCACUGCUCUGGACAAAUUUGAUGGCAUAGAUUUUGAAAUGGGCCAAGCAGAUGAUUUUGCUCUUUGUCUUAACAGGUGUGGACGUUUUUACCUUGGCUUCUCGGGUCCAAAAUAUACCUGGAAAUGGGGAACCUUGCUGGUUUGCCUUGAUCGGGUUGUGGUUAACUCGAACUGCUUCUCCAAUUUCCAGAAUCUUUCAAUCGACACUUACCCAAGGUCAAAUCGGACGACCGGCCAAUCCAGGUAUUUAUCACUAAACUUGAUCUUUCUAAUCAUCUUAUUCGCCCAUUUCGCUUUAAUGCUUACUAGCUAAGCCAUGAGGAUUUUCCGUGCUUCCUCCAAGUGGAAUGGCUGGCCGGGGAAGGUAUUCCUUUUGCGUUGCACGCAUUUCAUAAUCAAAUCUCUCAAUGGAACAAAAACGUUUUUGGUAACAUCUUCAAGCGCAAACAGACUUUAGAGCACCAGCUCCUUUGUGUGGAGAUGAAGAAUGAGGUCUCAGCUACCAAUAACUCGCUUGCUGCUGAAUCUAGAAUUCGCAAGGAACUUGAAAUCAUGUUGUGGCAAGAACAAAUGUUCUUGCUCCAGAAAUCCCGAAUUCUAUGGAUGCGUGAUGGAGAUCAAAAUACCAAGUAUUUUCAUACCUCUACUAUUUAUCACCGCAACAAUAAUCGCAUUCAGGGUCUGAAAGAUGGGACUGGUAACUGGAUUUUUUAUCCAGCAACCCUUUCUUGUAUGGCUAGAGAUUUUUUUGUUAAUCUUUUCCAUACAUAUGACGUCCAUUGUACGUCCCUUCCAGAUUGUACCUAGAGUGUUCUCGCCUUGGAGGAUCAGGAUACUAUUAAUCGUCCCUUUACCCCCACUGAUGUCCAGGCUGCUCCUAAAGACAUGAGGCAACUCAAAUAUCCAAGGAAGGGCGGCUUCCACCCUCUCUUUUUUCAAAAGUGUUGGAAUGUCGUGGUUCAGGACUUUAUGAAUUAUGUUCUUGUCGGUUCUAGGGAUCCGAGAUUGAUUUUACCGAUCAAUGAGACCAUUAUUGUGAUGACUCCUAAGGUCAAAACACCUUAGAAUAUGACUCAAGUUUGGCCUAUUAGCCUAUGCUCGAUGCUCUACAAAAUCAUUACUAAAUGCUUGGCUAAUAGGAUCAAAGGCUUCAUGAAUGCUUUUAUUGGUCCCAAUCAAACGAGUUUUGUCCCUAGCAGGUAGAUUUCGGAAAACAUCAUUAUCCUUCAGGAAGUAGUGCAUUGCCAUCCACUCAAAAUAGGUACGCAAGGGUCUUUUGUUAUUAAACUGGAUCUUGCUAAAGCCUAUGGCAGGAUUGAAUGGAGCUCUAUUGAGGAUACCCUCCGGUGAGCUCCUUUUCCGGAAGAUUUCAUUCGCACAACAAUGACAUGUAUCUCCUAUGCUUCCCUUCAAAUCUAAUGGAAUGGUACUCUAACGGAAGUUUUCAAACCAAGAUGCAGUCUUCUGCAGGAAUGUCCUCUUUCUCCCUACCUUUUUACACUUUGUAUUGACCGCCUAAGUAAUCUCAUCUCCAGUAGGGUUGCCUAUGAGGAUUGGACUCAUGUGAUGCUUAGUCGUGGAUGUGACACCCUGAAUUCUGGUUCGGUUUAAGUUUCGGUUUGAUAUAAAUCUUACUCGAUAAGUAGGAGUCGGGAGUCGGAAACCGGAUUAAUUUAAUUAAUUCGAAGAGUUGACUUAAUAGCUGUCCAAGUAUUAAAGGCUUGGAAGGCUUGGGAUACUUAUCGAGUUGACUAGAUCAAUUGAAAGAAGAGUUAAGUCUCUUUAAUUAUUAGUUAUGAGCUUGGAGGAGUCUAGGCCAUUAGAUGCGUCUAACGGUGAGGUAGUCCCUUGAUCCAUUCAAAAGAAGGAAAGUGGGCUGCCAUUCGGAAAUGCGUAUGUGGUAUGUGGGUCAUGGGGCCCACCUGAAGUUGUGGUGACGUGAUGGCCUUGGACCGUUGGAUUGAUCCGGUGGACGGAUUGGGCCCAUAACCAUUCAAGAGAUGGGGGGUUAGGGUUUUUGGUUAUCUUCCCUAGACCUAAAUCGUGAACAGAUAGUUCACUUUCUCUCCCAAGAACCUGGCGAAGACGGCCGUGUCGAAGUAGCGAUAGAUGGCUGGUCAAAGAGAGGGAGGACCUCGAUGGAGAUCGGGAUCAACAGCUGGAACGGUGAGGCGACCCUGGUGCAUGGAGCAGAGAACAGGCGGUCUCGAUGGCGGCAGUGGCAGUGGCGCUCCUGGAUCCAUGGAACGGGUGGAGACAAAGCUAGACUCGUUGGCAACGUUUAAACAAAUCUGAUGAUGGGUAGAGGACGGUGAAGACGAAGAGAGAGCCGGUGGCAAGGUUUCCAGGGUGAUUGGAGGUCACCAGAAUCUAGGUAGAGUUCACCGGCGGCAAGGACUUGCCAGGGAAGAAGAGGGAUCAAAAUGCACGUCUCAAAAGUUAAGUGACUGAUCUGUGAGUUUGGCCAUUCUUAAGUCUUGCUUUCGUAGUUCUGAACUUGUGGAGGAUAGUUUACAGUUAAGGACGUGGCUCAAAUUUGUCAAUGAAUGAAAGUUGUGGAUUCGUUAAUUUAACGGAGGCAGUUAGGGGACUAGCGAGUUUCAGAUUAUUACAAAGAAGUAAAUGGAGCAUAACUGAAUUGUUUCGACUCCAAACAGCGCACAGCAAGAAGCUACAAACUUAUGGCAGCGAGAGGAAUCAUGUCAAGUCAGAAUCAGAGAUGUUAGCUCUUCAUAAGAGGUGGGGGGUUUAGAAUUACUUUUGUUAUUUAAGCGAAGAAUUGUAAUAGGUUGUCAGGAAUCCAAUGAUUCGAUUUUCAGUGUGUUCUAGAGCAGGGCUCUCAUGACUGUACAGUAGUGUGUGAUCUACUGUACAUGUGUUAUGUUUAGAGCGUGAGCUCUCAGGCUAUACACUAGCGUGCGAUCUAUUGUACAUAUUGUUAUUUUAGUUCGAGCUUUAGGUCAUGUCGUUUGAACUGUGGCGUGUGAUUCACAGUUCAUGAUAGGACAUGAUUAGGCCUAGCUAGAUUAGCUCCCGAUUAUACAUUGGUCGCCCGCCCUUUGGAUUGCGCAAUCCCCUAGGAUUCAUUCAAGUUCAGGUAGGACGUGACAAGUAAGCCUUCAGUGCUGCUCUUAGCUAGGGGUGGUAACAUUAGGACGAUACCUACAGGACCACAUGGUCACUUUGUUUAGGUAGACUUCUCAUUCUAUCCUUAGAAAGGUUCAUUAUAGGCUCAGUUCAGGUUCAUAAUAGGCUCAAUAAAAUCUCAUUUUUAGUUUUCGUUCGACGCACGACUAGUUUAGCCACUUAGUGCUUAUCACUGACCCCGUUAGAUAUUAUUUACCUUGGUGUAUUUAUGUGUUAAGUCACAAGUACUGGAGCUGGUAGUAGAGAGAGAGCUAGUCGGGGUUUUGAUAUCUUUUAUAUUGUUGUUUUUAUGUAGUUUCAAACCAAAGUUGCAUUUCUUUUAAUUUCUUGUGAUUUGGGAUCUAGGAUCUGAGUUUUUCAGUUUUGAUAAUGUAUUCCAGUUCAGCUUUUAAUAUUUAAUGCUGGGUUAGUAUAUUUAGAGUUGAGUUCUGGUUCAGGCUGACACCCGAGUAGGACUUUUUGGUUAAACCUGUGGUUCGACCGGGACUCUUAGGGUGGGGUUUCACAGUGGAGAUCCUAGUUUUUUGCAUCUCUUUUUCGCUAAUGAUUUAGUCCUUUAUGGUAAGGCUUCCCUGGAUCAAUGCUAGGUCAUUAAUGAGUGCCUAAACCAGUUUUGUAAUGCUUCAUGUCAAUUGGUUAGCUUUGAUAAGUCUUGCAUUUUCUUUUCCAAGAAUACUUGCUCGAGUCUUAGGAAGCAUAUAUAUGACUCCCUUCAUUUUAAAGAAACUAAGGACCUUGGGAAGUAUUUGGGAGUGCCUGUUUACAUGGUAGAAUGACUAAAAUGACCUAUCAAUUGGAUUGUAUUGAUUCUAAGUUAGCUAGCUAGACAUCGAAGUCCAUGUCCCUUACUGGUAAUGUGACUCUGGCUACUUCCUUCCUUAAUGCUAUUCCUACAUAUGUUAUGCAAACAUCAGUUCUCCCUAUUGAUAUUUGUAACAAAAUUGAUAAUUGAAUUCGUAACUUUGUGUGGGGUAUCCUCCUUGAGGAGAGGAAACCCCACUUGAUUUUUUGGGAUAUUGUGUGAAGGCCGAAUUCGAAAGACUAAGGUGGCCUAUGACUUCGAAAGGCAAAUGAGUUGAAUGAUGCCUACCUUAUUAAGCUCGACUGACACAUUCUGACCAAACUAGUAGCAUUUUGGGUACAUCUCCUUUUAUCAAAAUAUACCAAGGACUCUGCUGAUGGUAUCAAGCUCAUGCAUAAAUCGAGAUCCUUAUACCUUUUGGCGCGGUAUUCAUCGGAUCUAGAAGUUCGCUCACUGUGGGACACGAUUCAAUAUAAAGAGUGGGCGCACUACUAACUUCUGGUUUGGUACGUGGACGAAUAGCUAGUUCGUCUUACUGAUUUUGUCGACUGCAACAUUGGUUAUGUUGUUGAGAAACUGACAGUGAGGGAUAUGGUGACUGGUGAGCGACAAUUGAACUAGGAGCUUCUGAACAACUGUCCUAAUAAUUCUGCUUUUGGAGUCGGUUAGAGGCAUACCACCACGGUGCAGCGAGGCAGAUGAUAGCUUCCUCUGGGGGCCCGAUCCUAAGGGCCAAUUCACCUUAACGAGCGCAUACAACAUGCUUACAGGGAUUAAUGACACUGAUUCUAACUUUAUAUGGCGUUCCAUCUGGCGAUGGAAAAGUCCCAAUCGUGUAAUGCACUUUCUAUGGCUUGCUUGCCAUAAUCGUUUAUUCACCAAUGAAGAGAGAUUUUGACCCCACAUCGCCUCGUCGAAUACGUGCCAAGUUUGCAAGGUGGCUGUGGAAUUAUACUAUGGCAAAAUCACUCUGGAUUUCAUUUCGUGGCACCAAGAUUUGGAAUGGCUUUUUCAACCAAGACCUAAGUACCUGGCUGCUUACAGGUAUUAAGCAAACCAACGUAGCUCUCGAUUUUUGAAUGACUUGUUGGAUUCUGAUGACACAUCAAAAUGAAGUUAUUUUCGAAAAUGGAUCUGCUACUAGCGAUCAGCUCCGCCUACGAGUCCUUCAUUGGAUCGCCAGGGUUCGUAAGACAAUGAAAGCUGGUACAGUGACAUCUAUGGAUGGUAACUCUUGUCGUCAUGAGAGCCUCAUUGGCUGGAGUCCAUAUGCUGUCUCGGGAAUUAUCAUCAACACUGAUGGCUCGGUCAUUAAACCAAAUUCUAGGGCUGCAGCGGGAGGAGUGCUUCGCGAUGUUCUUGGCCGGCGUAUUGCUGCUUUUGCGACUAAGUUAGGCUCCUACUCAAUUACGAGUGUUGAACUUCGAGGGACACUUUAAGGGUUAUGGAUUGCUUGGGAUUUGGGAUAUCGAACCAUCAACCUGUAAUUAGACUCUACUUGCACCGUGUCCAACAUCUUGGGCACCUCGCCGAAAGACAAACGCCACUCUAGCUACAUCCACCAAAUCCAAGAACUUUUGAAACGUGACUAGACGGUCCGUAUGACCCACACCUAUCGAGAGGGCAACUGUGUUGCAGAUCUCUUAGCCCAUCUUGGGCACUUUGAUAACGCUAGAAUUUGUAGUAGUUAUCUAUCCUUUUUAUACAUGUUUUGAGUGAUUAUUAGUAUGUUCGAGCUUCAUUUCCAUAUGAUUUCCUGUUUUGGCAUCAUGUGUUUAGAUCCGUUCAUUUCGACUGUUUCGGUCCAUUUGAUGUUUGGUUUGUAGUAUUUGUCGCCUAUAGGUACUAUGGAGAUAGGUGAUCUGUGGUGCGUAGCAUAAUUGGAGUUCGAACGAAAAGUCGAGAAGGAAAAUGGAGUAGCAGAGGGGCUACAUGCCGUGCAGCCCUUGCACUUGUCAAAAUGCCCGACCUCAAACCAAGGGAACGGCGUGCACCCCUGCAUGCGGUUCCAACCUUUUAGCUACGUGGGACACUAGAGGAAAGAAGAAGCAUGACAUGCACCCUUGCACGCCGUUCCCAUCUUUGUGCUACGUGGAACACUGAAGAUAGGAAGGUGCACGGCGUGCACCCUCCAAUUCCGGCUGCUCCCUAUAAAAUGGCAGAUUUUGAGGAAUGCGAACAUUCUUCCCCAACUUCAUUUUUCCUCUAUUUUCCUCGAGUUUUCUCUGCAAAAACCCAUACCAAACCUCCUCUAGAAGCUCAAUUGAAGAUCCAAAUGAGUUCCUUUCAAGGAUUGGAGCUAGGAUUGAAGAUAGAAGACCAAAAGCAACGAUUGAAAGAAGAACAAGCCAUUAUCUCUCCGACAAGAUGAUGGUUAGGGUUUCUUUUGAUUUUUUUUCUUCUAGCAUUAUGAGUAGCUAAAUCCAUAGAGAUUCUUCGUUGAAAUGUAGGAUAUGAGCCAUGAUACAUGUUUCAAUGUUUAAGAACAAUGAUUGUGGAUAUUUGGAUUGUAAUGAAAGAUUGUCUUGUUUGAUUGGAUUUUAACCUAAUUCUUGUUACAGCUAGAAUUAGGUCAAAUUUAUGGAAUCCUUUGUUCAUGAUAGACUUAGGAAUUAGUAAGAUUAACGAUUGAGGAAUUUGUCUGAAUAACUUCACAGUUAUUUUGGAGAUCAAGUUUUUGGGGACGUUGCAGAGGACUUCUCUCGUUCCUUCGAAAGGACUUAGUCGGCGCCAAUUUAGACAUUCGACUCCAUUUUAGUUUUGUUUUCCCGUCUCUUGGUUGUUUGUUUGGGUUUCACUUUGGUGUGUUGUUUUUGGAUGAGCAGGAGUUUAGGUGCAGUUUAUGAGACAGUCUAGCCGAAUCCGUGAGCAACCACUUCGGAAUCUACAAAGCAAUCUCACACCGCCUCGACUUGUGCUCUCUCCUCAACAUCAACCCAUCCUCAACUUAGAGAUUGUGCUACCGGUACCUUCACCACCUAAUUCACCACUCUCAGCGUCCUCUUCAUCACCAACGAUUUCUUCUCAGUCCAACUCGUCAAGCGAAGAAGAAGAUUUCAAAGAACCAAUCAUAAUGGAAAAUGCAGCACGCACGCUUGGGGACUAUACUAACCCUACACUCGCAGUCACUGGCGUGAGCAUAGUUCCUCCGUCGGUUGACAACCGACAUUUUGAGUUGAAGACCACAUAUGUCCAGAUGGUGCAGCAGCGACCAUAUUCAUGCAACGAUCACGAGUGCUCGAGUCAGCAUCUGAGACACUUCAUCGAGAUCGUGGAGCUCAUGAAGUUCAACGGGGUCCAUGCGGAUGUGGUUCCCAUGAGGCUUUUCUCCUUCUCGCUCCAAACGAAGGCCAAAGCUUGGUUGGACAACCAACCGAUCAACUCGUUCUGGACGUGGGAUGCUUUGGCUAAAGAAUUCAUAUAGGAGUUCUUUCCGCCCUACAAGACAGACGCAAUCAGGGCGCAUAUCAGUAACUUUCAGCAGAGAUAUGGAGAGCUCUAUCACAAGACUUGGGACCGUUUCCAAGCCCCGUUGUACUCCUGCCCCCAUCACAACAUGGAGGAGUGGACUUUAGCAGACAUUUUCGCGCACGCUCUUGACUAUGAGAACACGCGAAUGAUCAACCAAGCUGCUGAUGGUGAUCUGAAGUCGCUUACUCCGGCGAGGUAUUUGUAAUUAUUCAGGGAAAUGGCUGUUAAGACUAAUAGUUAAGCGUGCCAACAAGCACCGAGGAGCUUACAGGCACCAGUUGCUCCACCGUCAUCAAGCACGCGUCAGCAAGUCCUUGACGACAACUCCGACCAAUCUCUCCAUCUUCUCCAUUCCAAGGUUGAUGCAUUAGUGCAUCAGAUGAACAACAUGGUCUUGCCCAAGGCACCAAUCAAAGAGGCCGCACCACCUCCCACACCUCAACCACAGAAGGCAGUGAUGGUGUACUACUGCGAGGGUUGUGGACAUGAAGGACAUAGUGUGUCAUCAUGUCAACUCUUUUCAGAAGAAGCUGCUCCUAAAGAAGAUGUGAAGAAUUUCGAGCAUGUGGAUUAUGUCCAAGGGGGUCAGAAUCAAUAGGUUGGGUACAAUACAGGUGGUUAUCAAAAUAACUUCCGACCCAAAAAAGGUGGAUACUAUAAUUAUCCAUGGAACAAUCAAGGCUACCGGAACUAUCAACAAGGUCUGAGACCUCAAGGGCAAGUUCCUAACCAACUACAGGCAGCUCCUCAACGCCAAAGUCCUCCACGACAACCAAACUGCGGGUACAACCAAGGGUUCCAAGGAAAUCAAGGCUACCGUCAGGAAAAUCAACAGGGUUACCCACCCCAAGGACAAAAACAAGGUUUCAAACAGCAGGGUUAUCAAGCCCCUCAAGCAUCUCCUCUCGCGUUUCAACCAGCAGCUGUACCUCAAGUUGGAUCUUGAUCCUCAGCAGCACCUCCGACAGACAACAACGCCAUGCUACUUCAACUCCUUAAGAACCAACAGACUUUCAUCCAUAACCAACAAACUUGCAUCAACAAGUUGGAAGCUCAAAUGGAAAGCCUCCUCUCCAUUCGACAACCAGGUACCUUACCUGGAAAUACUAAGGAGAAUCCCAAAGGUGAAUAUGCUGAAUUGAAGACCAUCACUACUAGGAGUGGGAAACAAAUAAAUCUCGUACCCAUAAUAGUAAAGCCUCCCAUAGUGGUUCCCCCAAAGUUGGUUGCUGAAUAUGAAGGAAUGAAUGAGGAUGAGUUAGCAGACGAGAAUGCAGCUAAUGAUAAUGAAGAUGGAGCCAAAGGGGCUAAAGAAGAAGUGGUCUCCCAACCCAUGGGAAAGGGGCCAAUAAAGACCAAUGGAGCUAGCUCUAGCUCAAAACCGGUUUUGGCGCCUUACAAGCCAAAGGCCCCAUAUCCCAACCGACUCGACGAGGAUUCUUGAGCCAGGAGUUUUGCCCAGUUUGUGCAGAUGCUAAGGGGAGUACGACUCACCCUUCUUCACUGAAGCCAUUGCCAAGAUGCCAAUGUACGCCAAGUUUUUGAAGGAGAUCUUCACCAACAAGAGGAAGCUGACGGAAGUAGCCAACGUCACCCUCAAUGAGCAGUGCUCAGCAAUCGUCUCCACAUUCAUUCCGACCAAGCUCAAGGAUCUGGGUAGUUUCCAUAUCCCUUGUAGAAUUGGUGAAUUAGAUAUUGAAACAGGCUUAGCUGAUUUCGGUGUUAGCAUAAACAUAAUGCCAUAUUCUAUGUAUAGAGCACUAGACCUAAAUGAGCUCAACCCAACUAGGAUAAGAAUUCAGUUAGCAGAUAAGUCUUUGAAAUAUCCUAGAGGAGUGGUAGAAGAUGUUUAUGUUAGAAUUGGAAAUUUUGUGUUCUUAGUUGACUUUGUGGUGGUCGAUACCGGAGAUGCUGAUUUAUCUUUUAUCUUGGGUAGACCUUUCCUCAAUACAUAUAAGGCAAUCAUAGAUGUAUUUAAGGGAACUCUCACCUUGCAUGUUGACAAGGAACAUGCCACCUUCAAUUUGACUAAUAGUAUGAAAUUUACUCAUGCUCAAGAUGACAUUGAUUUUGAUGAUGUUGAAUUUGAGGAUGUGGAUGCCAUUGCUUCAGCUUUUCAGGUUAAUGGUUUCUUUGAUCUAGAUGCCUGGGAUUUGUCCUUAAGUAAUCAACUGCUGCAGGAAUCAUCUGACAAAUAGGGUUUCGACAUAGAACAGACUGAAGGUCAAGCAAAAGUUACUCUGCUCAUGGGAGUAUCCACAGUGAAGAGGACGUCAUACGAGGAGCCGUCCGAGCUCGAGCUCAAACCGCUUCUAGCUCAUUUAGAGUACGCGUUCCUUGCAUAAGGCUCCAAACUACCAGUCAUCAUCAACUGGUCUCUCACACCGGAUAAAAAAGAGAGGUUGGUGAAUCUUCUCCGACAUAACAAGGAAGCGAUUACGUGGCAAAUUUAAGAUAUCAAGGGCAUCAGCCCCAACUUUUGCACACACAAGAUUUUGAUGGAAGAGAACUUCCAUCCGGUAGUUCACCCUCAACGGAGACAGAAUCCAAAGUUGCAAAACGUUGUCAAGAAGGAAGUUGUGAAGCAGAUGGAUGCUGGCAUCAUCAACCCCAUUUCAGACAGUGAAUGGGUUAGUCCGGUUCACGUGGUGCCGAAGAAAGGAGGCUUCACAGUGGUUGAGGAUAAGAAGAAGGAACUCAUCUCCACCCAUAUUGUCAUCGGGUGGAGAGUUUGGAUUGAUUUCAGGAGACUGAAAGAGACUUCUCAGUAUAUGGGGAUUCCUUUGACCAGUGCUUGCAGAACCUGAAGAGAGUGUUGCAGCGAUGCGAAGAAACCAACUUAGCCUUAAGUUGGGAAAAAUGCCACUUUUAGUAUGUGAGGGAAUCGUACUUGGGCAUAAGGUAUCUAGUAAAGGGAUUGAAGUGGAUAAGUCGAAGCUAAAGACGAUAGCAAAUCUUCCACUCCCUUCUUCAGUCAAAGGUGUGCGGAGUUUUAUGGGCCAUGCGGGAUUCUACCGUCGAUUUAUCAACGACUUCUCCAAGAUAGCAACACCUCUGAACCGCCUUCUAGAAAAGGAUGUUGCAUUCACCAUCACAGAUGAGUACAUGCAUUCUUUUUGAGCUACUAAAAAAAACUCACAAGUGCGCCAAUCCUCACCUCAUCGGAUUGGUCUCUCCCGUUUGAGCUGAUGUGCGAUGCCAGUGAUUUUGCCUUGGGAGCUUUUGUAACACCCAUACUACUAGCAUGUUCAUUUUAAAAUAAAACAGCGAAGCAAUAAUAGGGUGCUACACUACUUAUACCGUAUAUAUCAUUUAAUGUUUACACUCAUCCAAUUAAUUCCAUCAUCAUAAUCUAGGAUUGAGUUUAUACGUACUCGUAUAAUUAAUUUGUCAACAAAAUUUUCUCACGAUGUCAUAUAUGACUUAUUGAUUUUUCACCAUACAGUACACUAUAACAAAAGUCCAGCCGGACACAUAUACAUAUAGAAUUAGAAGUCUCGAGCUUCACAGGCUCAUACCAGAGUAACCAGAUACUUGCCCUCAAGGCCACUAUAUUUUACAAAACCAUAUCUCACAUUAUACUAGUACACAACCACUCAUAACAUAUGCACAUGAUGGAAGUAAGAGUCUCAAAUAAACUUUAAACACAAAACGAGGAUCAAGACACAAUCUUCAAUAUCUCCAUGGCGUCGUCACCAUGAUGACUGACCCCGGAGCUCGAUGAUACCAUUUUGCAGUGUGUGACCCAGUAAAGCCUACUGUCGCUCUGAAAUGGAAAGUAAGGGUCAGUGCUAAUCACUGAGUGAGGAUCUACGUCCUAAUCACUCUAUGGUACAAAUAUUCAUAUGGAAAGUAUACAACAUAUAACACAUUAGGCUAAUUCUAUAAUCUAAUUUAUAUCCAUAUUUUAUUUGAGAUCCUGACUCACAUAUGCUGACGACCGACGUAGCGUAGAGUUAGUGGUACUAAAAUGACGCACGUAGAGUUAGUGUGGCGCUUAAGGUCCAUUAUACCUCGGAGCUAGCUUUCCUUUUCUCCCAAAUCGCAUUAGACCUUUCCAAGGAGAUACCUUAAGAAAAACCUUUUCCCCCACCUCAUAACUGAUCUCACGAGUUCGACGAUCUGCAUACUAUUUCUGACGAUCCUGAGCCACUCUGAGUUUUUCCUGAAUCACUUUCACCUUAUCAGCUGUUUCCUGAACUAACUCUGGCCCAGUUAUUUGUCUUCUCCUUCUUCAUCCCAACUCAACAGAGUUCUAGACUUUUGUCCGUACAAUGCCUCAUACGGAGCUAUACCCAGACUACUAUGGUAAGAAUUAUUAUAAGCAAACUCUACCAAUGGUAACAACCUUGUCCAAGGUCUUUCAAACUCAUUUACACAGGUUUGUAGCACCUCCUCCAAUGUGAGUAUAGUUCUCUCGGUUUGUCCAUCAGUCUGUGGAUGAUAUGUCGUAGAAAAGUUCAACAUUGUCCCUAAAGCCUGAUGCAAACUUCCCCAGAAAUGUGAUUUGAAGCUCGGGUCUCGAUCCGACACAAUUGAGAGUGGAACACCAUGAAGUCGAACUAUCUGCAAACUAUAUGCUCCACAUAUAACCUUGCCAAUAUCUCAUUGUUAGGCUUGUAUCGUAUUGGAAUAAAAUGAGCCACUGUUGCCAGUCUAUCCACAAUCACCCAUACUGCAUCUUUCCCAUCCUGUGUAGGUGGAAGUUCGCUUACAAAAUCUAUAGUAAUGUGCUCAAAUUUCCAUUCUGGAAUGGGUAACGACUGCAAUUUACCCGCUGGUGCCUGGUGUUCCAUCUUUGUCCUUUGACAUACCAAACAAGUUAGGACAUGUUCAGCUACNNNNNNNNNNNNNNNNNNNNNNNNNNNNNNNNNNNNNNNNNNNNNNNNNNNNNNNNNNNNNNNNNNNNNNNNNNNNNNNNNNNNNNNNNNNNNNNNNNNNNNNNNNNNNNNNNNNNNNNNNNNNNNNNNNNNNNNNNNNNNNNNNNNNNNNNNNNNNNNNNNNNNNNNNNNNNNNNNNNNNNNNNNNNNNNNNNNNNNNNNNNNNNNNNNNNNNNNNNNNNNNNNNNNNNNNNNNNNNCUUCUUUUUGCCUCUCUUUUAUUUGAUCAUGAAGUAAAGGUCUGAUAGUCAAACGAGCCAUCAAUGUUUCCAUCUCAUCCAUUUCCAAGUCCACUCUUAAGGCUCGAAGAUCAACCAACUUUGGAUGUCGCUCCUUUCUACUCAAUGCAUCUGCCACAACAUUAGCUUUUCCAGGAUGGUAAUCAAUGGUAAAAUCAUAAUCCUUUAGUAACUCCAUCCACCUCCUCUACCGGCUAUUUAGUUACUUUNNNNNNNNNNNNNNNNNNNNNNNNNNNNNNNNNNNNNNNNNNNNNNNNNNNNNNNNNNNNNNNNNNNNNNNNNNNNNNNNNNNNNNNNNNNNNNNNNNNNNNNNNNNNNNNNNNNNNNNNNNNNNNNNNNNNNNNNNNNNNNGUAGGAUAGUUAACCUCAUGGGGUCGUAGUUGCCUUGAUGCAUAAGCAAUUACUUUUCCAUCCUGCAUUAGUACACAUCCCAACCCCUGAUGGGAUGCAUCACUAUACACCACAUAUUCACCCAUAGAAGUGGGUAAUGUGAGUACUGGUGCGGUAGUGAGUCUAGUCUUUAACUCCUCAAAACCGUCUUGGCACGUCUUAUCCCAACUAUAAGUCAUACCCUUUCUCAAGAACUUCGUCAAAGGCAUAGCAAUUUUAAAGAAUCCCUCAAAAAACCUUCGAUAAUAUCCAGCCAUACCUAGGAAGCUUCAUAGUUCUGACACAUUGAUGGGUGGCUCCCACUUAAACACAACUUCAAUGUUUCUCGGGUCCACCUCUAACUCUUUUCCAGAUAUCAAACCACAGCUUCAAUGUUUCUCGGGUCCACCUCUAACCCUUUUCCAGAUAUCAAGUGACCAAGAAAUAUUACUUCCUUAAGCCAAAAGGCACACUUUGAAAAUUUACCAUAUAACUCUUAUCCCUAAGGAGAUUCAAUACCAUCCUAAGGUGCUCUACGUGCUCCUCUUUACUUUUUGAGUAUAUCAGGAUGUCGUCAAUAAAUACUAUCAAAAAUUUGUCAAGAAAUUCAUGGAACACCUUGUUCAUGAGUGCCAUAAACGUUGCUGGUGCAUUAGUCAAUCCAAAUGGCAUCACUAAGUACUAAUAGUGUCCAUAAUGAGUACGGAAUGAUGUUAUAGGAAUGGCUGAUUCAGAAACCCUCAAUUGAUGGUAGCCAGAUCUGAGAUCAAUCUUGGAAAAUACUGAUGCACAUUGAAGCUAGUCAAACAGGUCAUCAAUCCUAGGCAAAGGGUACCGAUUCUUAACUGUCACUCGAUUCAGACGACGAUAAUCUAUGCACAUCCUCAUCGAUCCAUCCUUCUUCUUUACAAACAAUACAGGUGCUCCCCAAGGUGAGACGCUCGGUCUUAUGAAACCUUUGUCCAAGAGCUCCUGUAAUUGCUUUUUCAGCUCAGCCAACUCCACUGGUGCCAUCCUAUAUGGUGCUAUUGAAAUGGGUGCAGUUUCUGGCACCAACUCGAUAUCAAAAUCAACCUCUCUUUCAGGAGGAAGUCCUUGAAAUUCUUCUGGAAAUACAUCUAGAAACUCCCUUACUACCGCUACCUCUUCCAUUUUCUCAGUGUUUUCCAUGGUCACAUGGGCAAGGUAUGCUUCGCAUCCAUUUUGAAUAAGCUUGGAAGCCUGAAUAGCUGACAAGAAUGGGGAUCUUUCAUGCUCCUUCCUUUGUAUACCUUUAAACAAAAUUUUCCCCUUUCCAGGAAGUUUAAUCUUAACUUCCUUCUUCGACAAUUCAACACCACCCCAUGUUGAGUUAACCAGUCCAUUCCGAGGAUUACAUCAAACUCGUCAAAUGGUAGCAACAUUAAAUUUGCUGAUAGCGAUUUGCUGAUAGCGGAACUCCUUCAACGUUUAAGAAAAUGUUCCGAAUAACUGAUUUUAUCUCCGCAGUUUUCCCCACCGGAGUUCUAACCUCAAAACUAUACCCCAACUCCUUAGGUACCACUUUUAGCAAUAGUGCAAAUUGGCAGGAAAUGAAAGAAUGUGUGGAACCAGUAUCAAAUAAGGCAUAUAAUGUAUGUCCAAUGAUAGAGAGCGUACCCAUAACCGUGUCUGUCGCAAACUCAGCCUGCUCCUGAGUCAUGGCAUAUACCCUGCCUUGAGCUUGUUCUCCCGAUUGUUGAUUACCAGAGGGCUGGGAACGACUACCAAGUGGUCGUGAACUAGCUCCCGUACCUCUUCCUCCUUGAGAGCCCACACUUCCCUGAUAGCUAUUACCUUGGUUCCCUCUAAACCCGCUCCCAGAUGGAGCUCUGUUACUCUGUUGAACCGAUACCUCAGAUUGGGCUUGAUCAACCACCAACGGAUAGUUAUUGAGUCGAUGUCUCUGAUCCCCGCAUCUAAAACAACCCCCUAUCAAUAUUCUGCAUGUCCCAAAAUGCCUCCUCCCACAAUGCUGCCAAAUCACUACUAGUGCUUGUGUGUAUGAUGUCUGCUAUCGUGACACAUUCUGAGUAGGUCUAUGAUAAGACAUUCUAGUUGGUCCCCAUUUUGCCACGGGCCCUAUCCAGAGUGGCUCGCAUUCGGGCUUAUCGCUUUUCUUUUUAGAUCCUCCUUAUUUUCUUCCCAUUCCUUAUUUCCCUUGUUGUCUAGAUAUUCGGCGCUUAAAGCAACUUGUUUAAUAUCCUUCCAGCUGGCCAUGUCAGAACUGGAGAUCCCUUUCUGAAUAUUUGUUCGAAACCCUGCCAGAAAACGCUUCUUCAGAAUUGUGUUUCGCUCGGAUGGAAUGGUAUGGUGCCAUCUGGAUAAUCGAGUAAAUUCAAUAUGGUACUUUUGGACAGUCAGAUUUCCCUGCUUCAGUGACAUGAAUUCCAUCGCCUUUUCCUCUUUCCACUAAUCAGUGAUAAAUUCUACUUCGAAUCUUAUUUGGAACUCCUCCCAUCCCAAACUGAAGGGAUCUUCUUCAUACACUGUUGUGGCCUCCCACCCAGUACUGGCCUCCCACCAAGUCCUAGCAUGCCCUCGAAGCAAGAAAACACAGUAGCGAAGCCGCUCGUCCGAUGUGGCUUCCAGCUGGUCAAACGUCGCGUUCAUGUCACGAAUCCAAUCAACAACUACUUGUGGAUCUGUACUUUCCCCAUCAAAUUCCUUCCCUCCAUAACCUUUCAUCCUCUUAGAAUCUAACACUGCUCGAGGUGGGUUCACAUGAAUGCCUCCACCCUAAUCAAGACUCUUGUGCACACUAUAAGAAGAAUGGUCUUUAGUGAUCCUCUUUUAGGAAACUCUUUAAUUUCAAAAACCCCUUUUAGAAAUGCUUUCCAAAUCAUGAUGCCUAUAUGCAACUAACAAUGCAUCACAAAACACACAAUCACUCGAUCACUUGUGCAAAUACGAGUAUGGAAUACCUCCCAUCUUUUGAGGUUCGCGACGCCCCAAGAGAGAAAGUAGCAUACCUAUAAUGCAGAAGACAACGGGGCUCUGAUACCACCAUGUAACACCAUACUACUAGCAUGUUCAUUUUAAAAUAAAACAGCGAAGCAAUAAUAGGGUGCUACGCUACUUAUACCGUAUAUAUCAUUUAAUGUUUACACUCAUCCAAUUAAUUCCAGCAUCAUAAUCUAGGAUUGUGUUUAUACGUACUCAUAUAAUUAAUUUGUCAACAAAAAUUUCUCACGAUGUCAUAUAUGACUUAUUGAUUUUUCACAAUACAGUACACUAUACCAGAAGUCCAGCCGGACACAUAUACAUAUAGAACAGAAGUCUCGAGCUUCACAGGCUCGGACUAGAGUAACCGUACACUUGCCCUCAAGGCCACUAUAUUUUAAAAAACCAUAUCUCACAUUAUACUAGUACACAACCACUCAUAACAUAUGCACAUGAUGGAAGUUAGAGUCUCAAACGAACUUUAAACACAAAACAAGGAUGAAGACACAAUCUUCAAUAUCUACCUGGCGUCGUCACCAUGAUGACCGACCCCGAAGCUCGAUGAUACCAUUUUGCAGUGUGUGAAUCAGUAAAGCCUGCUGUUGCUCUGAAAUGGAAAGUAAGGGUCAGUACUAAUCACUGAGUGAAGAUCUCUGCCCUAUUCACUCUAAGGUACAAUUAAUCAUAUAGAAAGUAUAUAGUAUAUAACACAUAAGGCUAAUUCUAUAAUCUAAUUUAUAUCCAUAUUUUAUUUGAGAUCCUGACUCACAUAUGCUGACGACCGACGUAGAGUUAGUGGCACUAAAAUGGCCCACGUAGAGUUAGUGUGGCGCUUAUCAAAGCCCACGACAAUAGUUAGUUGUGGCGCUUACCAAGGCCCACCGCGUAACAGAAGUGCAAUAAGCACAAUCGCCAGCAUACGGCCCUAAAUAGGUGAUCAAUCAAUUACCAGAUUUAUUCAAUAAUCANNNNNNNNNNNNNNNNNNNNNNNNNNNNNNNNNNNNNNNNNNNNNNNNNNNNNNNNNNNNNNNNNNNNNNNNNNNNNNNNNNNNNNNNNNNNNNNNNNNNNNNNNNNNNNNNNNNNNNNNNNNNNNNNNNNNNNNNNNNNNNNNNNNNNNNNNNNNNNNNNNNNNNNNNNNNNNNNNNNNNNNNNNNNNNNNNNNNNNNNNNNNNNNNNNNNNNNNNNNNNNNNNNNNNNNNNNNNNNNNNNNNNNNNNNNNNNNNNNNNNNNNNNNNNNNNNNNNNNNNNNNNNNNNNNNNNNNNNNNNNNNNNNNNNNNNNNNNNNNNNNNNNNNNNNNNNNNNNNNNNNNNNNNNNNNNNNNNNNNNNNNNNNNNNNNNNNNNNNNNNNNNNNNNNNNNNNNNNNNNNNNNNNNNNNNNNNNNNNNNNNNNNNNNNNNNNNNNNNNNNNNNNNNNNNNNNNNNNNNNNNNNNNNNNNNNNNNNNNNNNNNNNNNNNNNNNNNNNNNNNNNNNNNNNNNNNNNNNNNNNNNNNNNNNNNNNNNNNNNNNNNNNNNNNNNNNNNNNNNNNNNNNNNNNNNNNNNNNNNNNNNNNNNNNNNNNNNNNNNNNNNNNNNNNNNNNNNNNNNNNNNNNNNNNNNNNNNNNNNNNNNNNNNNNNNNNNNNNNNNNNNNNNNNNNNNNNNNNNNNNNNNNNNNNNNNNNNNNNNNNNNNNNNNNNNNNNNNNNNNNNNNNNNNNNNNNNNNNNNNNNNNNNNNNNNAUUAACACAUAUAUUAAAUUAGAUAUAUCAGCAAAGUAACAGAACAUGUAUCAUAUUAAGUAAUAAAUAUGGUAAAGAAGCAUAUAAAUUAUUAAGAUUAAACGGGCAUUACCCUAUCAUGCAUAUAGCCUUAAUAAUAAUAAAAUCAUAAUGGAACGUCUAACCCGGUCGGAUACGCAGGAGACCCUCACCAGAAAUAACCCUUGAGAAAACCGGUAAUAACUUCCGAGUUGAGAUCGUACGUAAUUCCAAGGACUUGAAUUAUGAACCAGGUAUAAGGCAUUGGCUUCUUCUAUAUUUCCUCUAUUUAAGUAUCCUAUCUCCACUAUUUCUGCCUUACAACUUAAUGAAUAACGUACUAUUUAUAAUGGAGAUUGGGGAUGCAAUACUGCUACAACACCUAAAAAGAAUAACGUACUAUUUAUAAUGGAGAUUGGGGAUGCACUACUGCUACAACACCUAAAAACAAAGGAACCAAUUACUUUAACUUAUCCAUAACUUCUUUGUUUGUAUCCUAGGUAUCUGGACAUACCACCCAUCCAAAGAGAUGUCCCCAUGCAUGCAUGGGUGUAAUCUCCCUACACUUGCCAUAUACACUCUUUUUUUGUAUGGCAGUGCAUGGCUAGAUAAGUGAACGUAAAAAUCUAUUUGUGUAGAUAUAUAUCAAUAACUGUGUAGAAACCGUUCUUGUAUAUGUACAUUACCAUGUACCGUAUUAAUUUAGUUGGUACUUUUGGUAUGAUCGGGCUGGAAUGUUACAGCUGUUUUAGGACAAAGAACGGGUAACCACUUCCACCCUAUCUACUAUGCCAGCAAAUCACUGAAUGAUGCCCAAAAGAACUACACCACCACAAAAACAGAGCCGCUAGCAGUGGUGUGUUCGGCACAAAAGAUAAAGAGCUUCUAGCUGUGGUGUUUGCGGUCGACAAGUUCAUAUCCUACCUGGUGCUAUCUCACGCCGUGGUUUUCACUGACCACAAGGCUAUCGGGUACUUGAUGAGCAAUCCAGAUACUAAGCCACGCCUUUUCCGAUGGAUCUUGUUAUUGCAAGAGUUCGACCUAGAGAUUAAGGACAAGAAGGGCUCUAAGAAUGUUGUUGCAGACCACCUCUCCUGAUUGAUGGAAGAGGAGCUACGAAAGCCGGAGGGGAUUCCUAUUCCGGAGUGCUUCCGAGAUGAGAGACUCUUCAUGGUCGUUGCCCAGGUUGUGGAAGGACCAUGGUUUGCAGACAUAGCAAACUACCUCGUCACUAGAUCCUUCCCAAAGGACGUCACACCACAAGGGAAGUGGAAGAUUUUGACGGACAUGAAGAACUAUUUUUGGGACGAUCCGUAUCUCUUCCGUAGGGGUGCGGAUCAGAUGAUUCGACGAUGUGUGCCUUAUGACGAGACCAACUCUAUCCUCAACCACUGCCACGCCGGGCCAGCUGGAGGACAUCUUGGUGCUGACCAGACCUUCCGAAAGCUAUUUGACUCUGGUUUCUGUUGGCCUGAUAUUUAGAAGGAUAGUUUUGACUAUGUGGUAAAUGUAAGAGGUCUGGUAACAUAUCUAAUCGGGAUGAGAUGCCUCAAAAUAAUAAUCUUGUAUGUGCGUAUCUCUUCCGUAGGGGUGCGGAUCAGAUGAUUCGACGAUGUGUGCCUUAUGACGAGACCAACUCUAUCCUCAACCACUGCCACGCCGGGCCAGCUGGAGGACAUCUUGGUGCUGACCAGACCUUCCGAAAGCUAUUUGACUCUGGUUUCUGUUGGCCUGAUAUUUAGAAGGAUAGUUUUGACUAUGUGGUAAAUGUAAGAGGUCUGGUAACAUAUCUAAUCGGGAUGAGAUGCCUCAAAAUAAUAAUCUUGUAUGUGAAAUCUUUGACGUUCGGGGGAUAGACUUUAUGGGACCAUUUUCUUUGUUUAAUGGUCUCGAGUAUAUCCUUAUUGCGGUUGAUUAUGUCUCUAAGUGGGCAGAGGUCGUGGCUCUUCCCACUAAUAAUGCUAGAAUGGUAGGGAAAUUUUUGAUUAAGUUGUUCUCUUAGUUUGGGACACCUCGUGCACUCAUUAGUGAUAGGGGCACCCAUUUUCAGGGUCAGUUCGACCGGGUGUGCCACUGCUUUAGUGUCUCACACCGGCUCUCUACUGCCUACCAUCCUCAGACUAGCGGGCAAGUUGAGGUGAUGAACCGAGAGCUUUAAAGAAUUAUACAAAAGUCCAUCGAUCAAUCGAACAAAGAUUGGUCGAGUAAACUCGAUGACGCUCUCUAGGCUUAUCAUACCGCGUACAAGACGCAUAUAGGGACCACUCCCUAUAGACUCGUCUAUGGAAAAUCCUGCCAUCUACCAGUCGAACUUGAGCAUCGAGCCUACCGGCUUUAAAAUUUCUCAACAUGGAUGCUAGUAUUGUAGGUGAACAUCAAAAGUUUCCGAUACAUGAGCUAGAGUAACUCUGUCAUCAUGCUUAUGAUAGCUCAAGGAUAUACAAGGAGCGGACCGAAAAGUACCACGACUCCCGCUUACGGACUAUCAAGGAAUUCAAGGAAGGAGACCUCGUCCUCCUUUUGAACUCGAGGCUCAGACUAUUUCCCGGAAAGCUGCAAUCCCGAUGGAGUGGUCCAUUCAUCGUGACGAAGGUCUUCGCUUAUGGGACUAUUGAGGUAACAGCAUCGCCCUCCUCUGAACCUUUCAAAGUGAACAAUCAUCGUUUGAUACUCUACCAAGUUGGUGACAUCGUAGGUGUUGUCGACGAGGUGGAUUGUUUCCCACUUUGAAUUGUUCAUGGGAGGCCGUCUAGCUAAAGACGAUAAAGAAGCGCUCUUGGGAGGCACCCCUUGCGUAUCCAUUGUUAGAAUAGACAAUAAAAGACCUUAGAUGAUAAUUAGUGAGUCUUUUAAUGUGUGUUUGGUAUGAAUCUUGUGUUUGAGUCGAGUCUUGAGUCAUUGAUCGUGGCCUUGGUGAUUAUUGAUACAAUUGAACCCUAAGAGAGCUAUAUUUGUUGGUUGUUGAAUGCUGAAAUAGCUGGAAUUCGAUUGAGGAAGUUGCUGAAAAAAAACCCCUGCACGCCAUGCAAGACUUGAUUUGUUGAAUUCCGCGGCCACUAAAAUGAGGAACGCCGUGCUGGCCAAAAUUGCCUGAGACCAGCGUCCCCCGUAUUGAGGAACGGCGUGCACACCCCAAUGUAUCUGAUACCCAUGUACCCUAAUACAUGGAACGACGUGCACAUAUACAUGUCGUGCACCCUGUUUUGAAUCCGAAAACUCCCCUUUUCUCUCUCCACGAAUUUUCCUUCUUUUCUUCUCCCUUCUCCCCGCCGCCCCCUCCUUCCCUUAUCAUUUUCCUUACCUUCCUCUCCUUCUUCCUCUUCUUUUUCUCCUCCUUCCCCUCCCCCUCCUCCCCAUCCUCACCUUCCCUCCUCCCUCUUCCCCUCACCCUCCCUGCGCCGCCCCUACUCCCCUCCUCCUUCCCCCGCCACCUCUGACCACCCCCCUCCACUCUUCCCAACCGUCGUCCCUCCCUCCUCAUCCUCUUUCAAACAUCCCUACACCCUUCCCCUCCCCUUCCCCUUCCUCUACACCCACAUUCCCUCUCCCACAACCCACCAUCCUCCAUACCACCCAAAAACACCUAAAACCCCCCAAAACACCAAAACUUCAAUUCGAGCGAUUCGGGGCUUCGUGUUGGUCUCCCUCAACUCGGUGGCUUCCCAAUUUCAUUCGCCAAUGCUCAAUUUUGAUUUCCCCAAAUUUCUGUUAGUAUUCAAAUUUUUAGGUCAAAAUUAUGGCUUUUUUGAAUUUGGGUCAAUUGGGUAGAUUACAUGUGAAAAUAGUGCCAUAAGUGUUGAACUUGACUACCUAGGAUGUUGCUUUUGCCAUAUUACUUGAACUUCGCCUGGAAUUUUGGUUUUUCAAUAACGGUAGAAUUUUCUAAUUCGGCCAUUUUUCGAAAUUCUGCAAUUUCAGGUUGUUGAUGCUUCCCCUGUGUUCCAUAUGUUGUGUUGAUGCCUUCCUAUGCCUAUGUCAUGUUAGAUUUCUCCCACAUGUGAUUGCUCCGAUGAAUUCAAUAUUUAUGCUUAUGUGUUGAGCACCCGAUAUUGUGUGGACAUUAUGUCGAUUGCGUUGUACUUGUUAUGACCAUUGUGAUUGAAAUACUGUCCAUGAUUACGUAGGAAGCUUCUUGCAUGUUCCGAACUUGUAGUUCGCUUGAUUUUUCAUGUUCUUUGAAACGGUUAAAUUUUUGGGUUCAAUCGUUUUUUGAGAAUCUGAAAUUUUAGGUAGUUGUUGAUGUCCAGGUGUUUCAUGUGACUCAUUAUCAUCAUUAUAUAAUCUUGAUGCUUCUUGUUUGAUCGAAGUCAUGCUUUUGCUUUGAAUUUGUGAUUUUGCCAAAAUUGGUACAAUAUCACCAUUAUGCCAAUUUUGAAAAUAAGAACAUUUGAUAGUUUUUGUUGACUUCUUGGUCUUCAUUGUGACUAUAUGUGUCUUUGUGUACCAAUGCCACUCCUUGUUUGCUCAGAAUCAUUGAUAUGACUUGUUCUUCAAUUUUGUCAAAACCGACCAAGUGAGCUAGGAUGUUUGUUUGGUAGUUGUGUUUACUUGAUUUGGUGGAUUAAAAGCAUGAACUCAGUUAAUCAUAACAAGUAAUUAAUCAUCAUAAUGCUUGGUCCUCGAAGGCGGAGCGCAUUAAGAUACCGAGGAUGAGGCUUCUUCACCUGCUCUUCCGUCGCGCCAUCACCGCUAGGAAGCAGUCUAGUAUCGGAGGAAUAGUGAAGUCCACAGACUUGUGGCUUUUCCACUGCCUCGAGAAUGAAGUGAAGGUCCAUCUUGGGGACUUGGUCGCAUGCCUAUUCAGGCACAUGUCCGAGCAGAAAGGAGUUGGAGUUCUGUUUGGGGGAAGCUUCAUCGCACGGCUGGUGCGAAGGCUUAGAGUUAUGGACGCCUUUGGGGUGGACCCGCUGUUGCAGCGUGGGUAUCCUAUCAUAGCUCGGACUCUCAAAGCAUGGAGUCCCCAACCUGCUGGCUAAGAUAGUGCAAGAAGGGCCAGAUGUUAGAGAGGGGGAAGGAGCAGACUUCUCUCUAGAUACUGUGGAGACUCUUGCAGCACAAAUUGGUGGGCUGCAUAUGAACAUGAGUGACGUUCUCGACAGUCAGACCUUUCUCAGCCAGGACUUCCAUCGGUUUGACGGUCAUAGUAGAGCUGCUUGGGAUAACUGGACCAGAGGACCAAGAGGAUUGAGAGCGAGGUGUGAGGACUCCGCCAGGACUUCCAGGACUAUGUGAUCGAACACAGAUAGGCGAGGACUCAUCAGGAGCGACGGGGACGACCAAUUUGCUGAGGCUAAGGCUCAACAAGGCCAGUUGAUCCAGCAGCAGGGACACCAUAUCAAUGAGCAGCAACAUUGGCAGAGUGGACACAUGUCCUACUACUAGGACAGUUACUUCACGGGAGCAACCUACCCACCUCCAUGGCCAGCUUAUCCACCACCACCAUAGUGGCAUGAGAAUGAUCCAUAUCCUCAGUUCCCGGGGUAUCCAUACCCUAUGCCGGGGUAUCCAUACCCUCCGCCGGAUCAGUGAUCGCUUGGGACGUAUCAUGACUCAGACUUUUGUGUUUUUCUUUUUAUUUUGAGACUGUCAUUUUUCUUUCUUUUUCUUAAUUUUUCUCUUUGGCCUGUAUAACGGAUGAUAACUUCGGUUCCAUCUAUCAGUAGUACUUUUUUUGUCUUACGGUUAGCAGGUCCCAAACAAAGGUUCUGUCACAUCUCACCAUCGAUCUUCGUUUCAUCGGUAUCACCUUCUUUCUUCUCUAAUGUGAUUUCUUGUGAGGAUAGUGUUGAGAGUUAUGGGAUGACUUAGGAUGCUAGUAUUUCACUUGAUUGCUUAGAUUGAAUCCUUGUCAUUCAACAUUUGAAAUUCCCUCUUAAACUCGAAAUUAUGGAUGAAAUUGAAUGCAUGUUUAGCGUAGUAUUGCUGCUUGAGGGUGAAUAGGAUGCAUGAUAGAUUAUUUUCGGGUUGCCUCCCAUUUUUCUGGAAACGAGUUUAGAAUAGAUUUAUGCACUUGGUUACCCAAUCUUGAUGUCUACCGACUUGUGAACAAUAAAUUCCCUUAUCGAGUCGGUCUAGUUGUUUAAAGUCAUAUUUGACUAAAUAGUCCAAAUAACGUGCAAAAGAGGCCAAUGUGCCCAAAUUAUCAUGGGGGUUCGGUUGCGAUUCAACACACUGGUGACUUUGAGUCUGCCGCCUGUAAGCCAGUCCCUUCAAGCUUCUCUUCUCACCUCUUCCUAGUUGUGGGUCGGGGUUUUGUGAGUAAACUCGAUCUAUGUGGAUGAGAGCCUUAGCCCGACCAGGGUCGCAACUACCCCCAUUCGGAAAGAUACCCUCUAAAACUAUACAAAAAUUUUGAAAAGUGAGUUUGCAAUUAAUUGAGUAAUUCAAUUGACUCACAUGUGUUUAGUAUAUCAUGUAUAGUUAAAUUGAAAAAGAAGAGGGGAGUGCUUUUAAUCGAACACAUUAUUAAUUGACUCACAUGUGUUUAGUAUAUCAUGUAUAGUUAAAUUGCAAAAGAAAAAGGGAGUGCUUUUAAUCGAACACGUUAUUAAAGUACGCACUCCCUCCCUUAGGACGGGAAAAAUACCCGGCCAGGGCCAUUUUUUUUUAGCAUAAGUGAUAGGGGAAAUGUUUCGUCGGUGGGUGUUGAGUGGUACUAACUAUAUGCGUAGAUUUGUUCUUCAUUUGGAUUAGAGAACUCGGUAAUUAUAACUGUGUGGUUUGAUGAUCUAGAGUGUAUUAUUGGCAUCAUUAAAUAGGCUUGAACUGCAAGAAUGUUGUUUCUUCUUUUCACCAUGUUUAGAGUUUGCUUAGAGUACAAAAAGUAAGGUUGCUUGAGGACAAGCAAGGUUUAAGUGUGGUGAGAUUUGAUAAGGCUAGAAUUUGUAGCAGUUAUCUCUCCUUUUUAUGCAUGCUUUUGAGUGAUUAUUAGUAUGUUCGAGCUUCAUGUCCAUAUGAUUUCGUGUUUUGGCAUCAUGUGUCUAGAUCCGUUCAUUUGGACCAUUUCGGUCCAUUUGAUGUUUUCUUUGUAGUAUUUGUCACCUACAGGUACUAUGGAGAUAGGUGAUCUAACUAUGAAGCCAAGGACGUGGUGCGUAGCGCGAUUGGAGUUCGAACGGAAAGUCGAGAAGGAAAAUGGAGCAUCGGAGGGGCUGCACGACGUGCAGCCCUGGCACCUGUCAAAAUCCACGGCCUCAAACCAAGGGAAUUAUGUUAUCGGUGGGGUAAGCCGAUAACCUAAUUCUACCUUAUGUGUUUCUUGCAGUUUAAAACGAUAUUCAUCUUGUAAUUGGCUGGCGCUCUGGUUGGCACCCAAUAGACCAAGUUGGGUGUAGUUAUCAGUAGCUUAGGCGUUGGUGGACCAAGUUAAAGCUAUUUCCAAUUACUCGUGAUUUCUUUUAAUUCCGGAAGAACACCUUGUCACUUUGUAGAACUUCUCGGUGUUCAUUACCGGCUAGCCUGAUUAAGGUUAUUUCUACCUUAGUUGGGAAGCUAGUAGUGGUAAUCCGUGUGCAUGAUCGUGCCGCGGAUUCAUACGAGUGAUAGGAGGAUUCGUUUUAUUCAAUUCAAGUCCAUAUUCGUUCGUUUUGAAUCCAUUUAAGAAGUUGAGUUUGAUGACUCAUCUCUACCAAUAACUCGAUUUCACCAUUUGAAUCAACCCUUAAGUUUUUAGUUUAAUUUAAUCAUUAGAGUAAUUAAAAUCCAAACCCAAUUAUUUCAAUCUAAACCGUGUUGACGAGUUUGAGUAGAGGCAUAAUGGGAGGAACCUUCGGACACAAACGACACUUGUGUUGGCAGAAUAACUUCACAGUUAUUUCGGCGACCACACUCACUCCCCUUUGGAGUACAUUCGAUUACAGCUUUUAAUUCUAGUAUUUCAGAUUGUAUUCGCGUAGAAAUGAUAAUGGUCUCUUUCCCUUGAUUCAUUAAUCAUUAUUCUUAGGGCUUUGCCCGAGUUUCUACCAAAAAAAUUGUUUAACAUGACAAGUCCAUUUAUUAAUAAUGGGUAUUAUAUGCCAGUUAGGGUUGAUAAUUAUAUUAUAAUUUUAUAGUAAUUAUAUUUGUUUUGAUUUAAUAACUCAAAAAAGUAUGUACCAAACUAUAAAUACGGUGCGUCUAUAUAACAAUAUAUAGACUAUUAAUUUAUUUUUUAUUAUAAAUAUGGGAAAUGAUGGAUGUAAAAUGGUUGGACUAUGAUUUUACAGGUGUCUUGUUAUUUAGAAUUGUAAAAUUUUUUAAUAACAUUUAAGUGCAUUUCGAUACUGACUUCUAGAAAAAAAAACAUGCAAGUUUUUUUUAUAAAGCAGAUACAUGCAAAUUGAAAAGGAGAAAUGAUGUAGUUGUAGAGAGCCAUUUUUACUCAACUCUGAAUAUUUAACCGAUUUCAAUCAAGCAAAAUGUAGAGGGGCAGUUUCGGUAUUUCAAAAAACAUAAUCGUCUUCUCCGUUCCCACCCCAAGUUCAGUCGCCUCUCUCCUUCCUCUCCAAUUUAUCUACGAUGUCAGCUCUUCUUCCUCCAUCCCUUCAUUUCCCACUGACCCCCAAAUCCUAUCCUUCGACCUCGUCAGCUCAUCUUCCACCACCGAUUUGUCGACAACGCUCUUACUGCCAACGAAUCCGACAUUGUUGCUUUGUCAUAGUGUGAGAUCGAGGAAGAGGAGGAGAAAAAGAAGCCGGAGAUGACAAUCUCCGAUGGCUGAUCGUCGUUGUUAAUGGAGAAUGUUAAUUGGGGAAGAUGAAGUUAAAAAAUCCAAUUUAGUGCCCCAAGUUUUUCACAGAUUCAGUCCCCAGAGUUAGUAAAUUACUUAUAUAAUUUGUAAUUUUUAACUAAGGUCAAUCACCGCCCAAUAAGGUUUAUAGUUACUAUAAACUGACCCAGGACCUGUACAAAACUUCGUAGAACACGUAACUUAUCUAUUAUAAUAUAUAAAUUGUCAUAACUAAUAAUUAUAAUCGAUUAUAAUUCAUAAUUAGAAAAAUAAUAUAACCAGUUAUUAUUCAUAAUCGCUUAUAAAUACGUAGUUAUAAGCAGUUAGGAUCCAAAACACUAAACAUUAAAAGGAUUUAGGAUUUAUGGUUUAGGGUCUAGAGUUUUGAAACUCCAAGCCCUAAUUGGGACCCUAAAUCCUAAAUUCUAAACUUGUUUCCUAAAACUCUAAACCCUAACGAGUUUAUAAUUUAGGGUUUUUAAGUCAAUGGGUUACAAUAGUUUUUUGUAACAAAUUAAAAUUAUUACAAGUUAUAAUCACUAGAUAUAUCCAAUUAUAAUUAUUAAUUGUUAAAAUUAGUUAUAAUUAUUACCUAUUAUAAUCACUAGCGGUUACAUCCUGAACCCAACAAUGGAAAUUUUGCUAUGAUUCUUUCUUCCUUCUUUGAGGAGAAACUUGAUUUAUGUUGGUCUUCGUAUUAAAGCUGGUCUUAAGUUAGUCCUGAAAGCAGAUAAAUUAAUAAUAAGGGAUUAUAGUACUUCUACCCCCUCUACUUUACCAACUUAACAAAGAGGCCCCUCUAUUAUUAAAAAUUGUUUUUGCCCCCUCCUACUUUACCAACUUGCUAAACGUCUCCUUCCGUUACUCCAUUCGUUGUUUUGCCGUUAUUUCUCGCCUAAUCAGCAUUACCACACAUCAUACUGAUGACACGUGGUUAAGGAGUGUGAUAAUUAACCUUGUUAAUUUUUAAUUUUUAAUCAAAAAUUUAUUUUUGCAGUUGUUACUAUUUUAACCCUAAUGUAAAGUUACCAUAUCAGAUUAGGUACCAUUCUCUCCCCUCCUGCAUCUCAUUCUCACCGUUUGUGUUUCACCUCCCGCCUGCCUCCGACUUCAUUUUACUUUGGAAUCAGCCUUCUACCCUCUAUCCCACUCAUUUUCUAUCAUCUAUCCUCAUUCAAUCAAAUCUAUAACCUUUCCAAAUUUUUGGGAGCUCCAUAUUCGUUUUCAUCUUCCUCAGAUCCCUAACCUUUCCAAGAUUUUGAUCGAAUCGGAAAAAUCUCCCUACACAAAAAUUGUAAUAAUUAACCCCCUAUCGUAAUAAUCGUUCAUGGAGGGAAAGCUGCACAGAGGAUUCACCAUUUGAUUAAUUAGGUAGCCCCAAAGAUUGGAGUCAACAAAUCUAUUUUGAGUCGAUUUUUCAAACAGAGCAUGGCUUUUAUGGAGGCCGACGAGUGCAUUAAUUUUGAAGGUGGGUGGAAUCGAACUGGUUGAUGGCUCACGACAUAACUAAUUCUACUGGUAUGAAGGAGGAAGAUAAUUAUAUUCAACUUGAAGGACGAAGAUAAUUAUAUUCAACUUGAAGGAGGAAGAUGCUUAUAUUCAACUAGAUGAAGAAGGAACUAGUGGAGGAGGAGUAUGAUUCAACUGGAUGAAAGGUCGCCGCCUCCCCGGUCUUAGGCAGAGAGGUUACGGCUGUAAUUUAAGCAGAAAGAUGAAUUGCCCGGAGAUGAAGGAGAAAGAUGUUUAUUCGGGUAGAUCUUACCCACUGAAAAUAAUUGUAAGAAAUAAAAUUAAACAAGGCAUAAUUAUCAUACUAAAAAGCCACAUGUCAUCCUGGAUGAUGUGGCAAUGCUAAUUAGGCAAAAAAUAAUGGUAAGAUAACUGAUGGAGUAACAAAAGGAGACGUUUAGCAAGCUGGUAAAGUUGAAGGGGUUAAAAAUAGUAUUUAAUAAUAGAAGGACCUUGUUGUUAAGAGGGACCUUGUUGUUAGCUUGGUAAAGUAAAGGGGGCAAAUAUAAUAUUUAAAUCAUGAGACAGAGGUACACUUAUAAAUAAAUAAAUAAAUAAAAAGUGUGAUGCAUGCACAGCCGCAAGAUCGAACUGACGGCUCUAAUUCAUCUCAUAUUUCCUGGAAAACUUUUGAUCUUUUGAUUUAGCCGGUGGUUAUCACCCCCUUCCUUUCCCAGAAUCCCGACGCGGGAUAGCUUCGAUGAUUUCGGCGACAAUCAUACAAUUUCCAUUUUGAAUUUCUGGCCAUAGCUCUCGAAGCUUAGUUCUCUCUAGUCGAGAGCAAAUUCAUGCGUUGCUUAGCGGACGACAAACAAGCUGCCGACGGGGUCACAGUUGAUCGAUUUCAGGCCACCUUGAACGAUCCUGGUGGUGCAGGAUAGCUUUGUACCAAGGUUCAUAAAGACGAUUAAGUCUCCAAUUUCAUAUUGCUUCUUCGUGAACUCUUCUUACUUAAUUUAAUAAGGUGGGUUGGUUUAAGCGUUAAAUUUUUUAUGUUUUUGUAGUUAGGUUAUGUUUUAUUAACUAAAUUAAUCUCCUUAAUUUUAUGAUUAAGUUAUUACGUUAUGUUUAUGUCCAUUUUUUUAUGUGCAUAGUGAUGUACCUUCAGAUUAUCAUAAGGCUGGACUAAUAUGUUAACUCUAGAUUAACGAUAAUGUUAGAAAUAUGACAACGAUAGAUGACAAGUGAGCAUUGAGCAAGAACACUAUGCCUAGAGGAUUAAUAGGUGGAUUAAAGGCAUGAACUCACUACCUAGACUGUUGCCCACAUGAUUCAGGCCAGUAUUGCCCGCACGAUAUGUUGUCUGACGGAUACAUUCUCCCAGACAUCCAUGAUUUUCAUGAUAUAUUAUCUGACAUAUACGUUCUCACGGACAUCCAUGAUUUUCAUGAUAUGUUGUCUGACGAAUACGUACUCCCAGACAUCCAUGAUUUUCAUGAUAUGUUGUUUGAGGAUAUGUGCUCCCAAACAUCCAUGAUUGUCACGAUUUGGGCGGUAGGGCUAGUUAGUUGAAUUGAUGGACGCCCCACAAGAAUUAAGAUAACUUAGAUAAGGUUAAGAACAAGUACAAGAAUUAAUGUCAUGUAAUUGACAUUCACAAACAUGAUGAUUACGAUAUAACAAGUUACAAGAAUCAUGAUAGUUACAAUCUCAUAACACACCUAACAUUAUUAGUUUGAGUUCUAUUUUAUUAUGAUGAUUAAUUACUUGUUAUGAUUAGCGUUACAUGUGUGUUAGGAUUACAUAAAGAUGGUCUCUUUAUAUAAUAUGUAUAUUAGAAAAUAUUGAUGAUUGUUAUGAAAUAACGUAUUUUAUUCGAAUGUUUAUUCUGAAAUUUGUUUUAUGAUUUGAGCACGAAAGACUGACCCCGAAUCACAUACAUGGUGUUUGAAAGUUAAUGGUGGAGCAGAGUGGAGCUGAUUCGGGAUAUGUGGCAACGUGGACGUGAAUUUUAGAAAGCGUAUUUAUGUAUAAGUUAUUGAGACUUGAUUUUGAAUGGGUCACCGCCUUAUGAUUUUUGAAAAAAUGCCCUAACUUAAAUGGCAUAAUUGCCCUUUUACCGAACACACAAACCCUAAAUACUAUUCUCUAAACACAUCACCCACGAUCAUCAUCGAUCAUUCAUCGAUCAUCAUUGUUAUUCAAGUUCUAAACGAUCAUCACCGAUCCAAAAAAAUGAACAUAUGUUCAUUAAAAAUUCAUAAAAACGACCACCUAAUUGCCGCUGACAAACAGACAUCUCGUUGCCGGCAAGACCCAUACAGAUUACUGAGCCAUCGAAGCUCGACAGAGGUGAUCGAGUAUGAUCUUUAAACCUUCAAUUGUCGGAAAGAGAUUGAAUCGGUUUUUCAGUUUCGGUGUUAUUCGUUUCGGGUUUUGUGAUCAAAAGGGUAAUAAUUUAAUUACACAUGUUCUAGGGCGUAACUUAGGACGACGAAUAGCAAUUCAGUUUUCUUGAGAUUUUGUAGAGGCUUGCUAGUAAUUAAAAGUUUUAUUUUCUUUAUUCUCUUUAUCGUUUUAUUUACUCUUAUUUAUUAUUAUUAUUUUAUUUUAAUAUAUUCUGGCUAGGGCAUUUUAAUAAUUAGCUAAAGAUGUUGUUAAGACUCUUAUGCCCUCUAAUGAUUUUUAAGUGUUUCGUUGCUUUGAGGGCAUUUUGGUCAUUUAGUAAUUCAUAAGAAAUGAGGGUGUGACAAGCUAUAAAAGUUAUCAUAAGUGUUUAUAACUAGUUAUAUUUUCCAUUUAUAAGAGGUUAUAUAGUAGUUGGAGUAAGCUAAUAGCUCGAUUCUACCUUUCGUGCUUCUUUUGGUUUUAACGGUUGUUCAUCGGGUAAUUGGCGGGCGCUCUGGGUUGCGCCCAAUGGACCAAGUUGGAUGUACUUAUCAGUAGCUUAGAUGUUGAUGGACCAAUUUAACACUAAUUCCAAUUGCUUGUGAUUUCCUUUAAUCCCUAAAGAGCAUUCUAUCACUUUGUAGAACUUCUCGGUGUUCAUUAUUGGUUAGCCUAAUUGAGGUUAUUCCAACCUUGAUUAGGAAGCUAGUAAUGGUAAUCCACAUGCAUGAUCGUGCAGCGGAUUCAAACGAGUGAUAAGGAAUCAUAUUGUUCAAUCCAAGUCCAACAUUUGCUCGAUCCGACUACUAUUAAGAAGUUGAGCUUGAUGAAUCAUCCCUUCCAAGAACUUGUCUUCUCCUCCUAAUUAAACCAUAAUUGUUAAUUUUAAUUGAAUCAAUAGAAUCAUUGGAAACCCUUCUCAGUUUGUUCAGUCUAGAGCAUGUUGAGGAGUUUGAGUAAAAGCAUAACGAGAGGAAUCCUUGGACAAAUACGAUAGUGGUGUUGUCGAGAUAACUUUGUUAUUAGUUUGGUGAUCAAGAUUUUGGCGCCGUCGCUGUGGAACUCUCUCUUGUUCCUUUGAAAGAACUUAGUCGGUGUCUCUUUAGAGAUUCCCCCCAUUUAUAGUGUUACUUCGUUUUUUUUCUCUCGCUGGAUUUACUUGGGUUGUUAGUGCUUGAGUUCAUGUGCAAGGUUAUAGUUGGAAUGGGGAGUGGCAAGGUCCAUAUGGUGCAAGUAAUGAAGAUGAAGGUUGGAGCUCAUAUCCUAACCAACACCAACAUUAUGAGCAUCAAGGUCCACCAAACUACUACCAACCUAGCUAUGGAGGAGAACAACAACAACGCAGUAACUCUAGGCAUGGAACAAUGCAUAGUUGGGUUGCACACCAAUCUCCCACACCUUUCUACCUAGACUCACCUUCAACUUACUAUCACCAAGACUCACCUCUAACCUACUUCCACCAAGGCUAUAAUCAAGAUCAACCACCUUUUUAAGACCAAUGCUCAAGACCCGAUUAUUCAUAUCAAUCCCCUCCUUCGAUGUAUGAGCAACUCCUUAUGCUACUUGAGGAGAGUCGCCGCCAACUAGAGAUAUCAUAUAAAUGAACUCGCCUUUUGACACGACUUGUGGAGGAACUUUCUUUCCUACCAUAAUUCGAGGAGGUUGAGAUGAAUGAUCAUGAUUUGGGUGUGACAUCCGAGGAAAUGGAUGAGGAAGUGGAAGCAUUUUCAAUCACCAAAGACCAAACAAUGAUGCAUGAUGACAAAGCAGAGGGGUUCGAAUAGGAGGAAGCUUCCUCCUAUGAAGACCACCUACUUUGAUUAUUUUCGGGAUUGGAGGUGUACGAAAGAUGAUUUGAAGAAGUAGUGAAUGCAUCAACCUUUCUUGAACAGAAGCUACCUUUCUUUGAUGUUGGGGUAGAAGAUUCCAAAAUGGAGGAUGAUGGAGAGUGGAAGGAAGAAGUACAUAAAGAUAUGGGGCCUCCGAAAUUUGACAUUGCACCUUCCAUUGAGAAAGCUAUCAUUUGGUGUUUUCCUCGAGUCAUGGUUCCAAUGUGAGGAAACUCAGAAGGAGUACUCCCCACACCGGUCUAGAAAGGACUCCUUCAUCUCAGGACCACCCUUAGACGACCUCACCAACCACUUGAGUACCACCAUUAGCUUGGGAGCAUUUUAGAGCUUGAUGUUUAGUCACCAACCUACCUCUACCAUCCUCAAGCAUGCACAUUCACAAGGAGGAAGCCACAACAAGGAAAGAGUUGGCGCUCACAAUUGCUUCAGCUCCACCAUCUCUCUCUAAGGGUGCUACUUGGCAUUCAACUCCAAUCCUUAAAGAAACUAAUGGAAUUCAAUGAGGUUCUAAGUUGGGGAGCGUAAUCCAGGUAUCGUCUAGCUCAAAGAAGAAAAAAAGAGCGCUCUUCGGACGUACCCUUGCGUAUCCAUUUUUAGAAUAGGGAAUAAAAGACCAAGGAUUGUUGGUUUGUGUGUCUUGUGGUAUGUCUUUUGUGUCAGUCUUGUGAUUGAGUUGAGUUUUGAGUCCGUUGAUAGUGUCCUAAAUGAUUGUUGAUGCCUUCCUCAAUAUAUAUUUCACAAGGACACAAAAAUUCUAUAGUACGGUAAGCAAUGUGUGAUGCAAAUGACAUAUAGAGACUAGUAGGAGUCAUACUACAAACUUCCAGAUUUCUUGAAUGAGGUACAAGGUCUGAACCUAGAAAGGCAAAUUGAGUUCCGACUCGACGAUAGGAUGGUUGAGGUCAUGCCACUGGAGAAAUUAGGUCUGUAUUCUGGAGCAUUAAACUGAGCAUUGAAGGUUUCGGUAACUUCCCUCCUAUGUUGUUUGUGGAUGGCAUGUGCCUUACUGGAUAAUAUAGUGGAACUCUACUGUUGGUAACCACAACAUCCUCACUAUCGCAUUUUCAAUCAUUGACAAAGAAAGUGUAGAUUUGUGGGGGUGAUUCUUCCGCUGCAUUCAAUGACUUGUUGCAGACAUGCAAAACAACAUCGUAAUCUCAUAUCCUCAUGCGGGGAUAAGAGCUGCAAUGACCACCAUUAGUAACGGGUGGAUAUGGCGAUGGUGCAGCUGACGCUAAGAACGCAAUUACAACAGUCAUGUCAAGGUUCCAAACAUUAAAGAUUGACUGAAGUCCAUGGGUAUUGAGUCUGAUUAAUACCAUGCACUUUGCUAGUGCAUAUACUAUAUUGACAAAGUAGGUUGUUUGCAGUGAACGAUGGAUCAAGAUGGAGCUCCAAUGUAAAGGUUGCCUGGUUUCUUGAGGCUGACAAAAGACUCAAGCUUAACUAGCCAAACUGGGUCACCCACAAUAAAGAACUGUGGACCAAGGCAAUUGACACCGAGCUGGGGGGAUGCGAUAUGGCAUAAUGAUGAACAAUAUGAGUGAGAGUAUCAAUGGAACCUUCAAAGUGACUUUGUCUCUACUGAUAUGUGCUCUGGCUAGCCCAACGUUUUACUGGUAUGUUAUACAUGGUUGUGGAUUCUACUCACACAUGUCACGUUUCAUCUCUUUGUUGAAUGGAUGGUACUUUGAUUAGGCUGGUUGAAUAUUUUGAUCAGCGACAAAAAAUUUAAUUGCAGACAUAUGUUAGAAUGAAUACUGGACAUCAUACUGUACUAAGUUAAUGCGUGACUGUGAUAUGCAUUGUCUAACUCAUGAGGUGUGAAUGUUUGAUCACAAAGCAGAAGAGUAUGAUAUGGUAAGUACAUACAACAACACAAAUAAUACAGAUAGCCCAACAUAUAAGGUCUACAUUGAUCACCCGAAUAUGUCAAACCAUUAUAGUUGUGGGAUAUUACAACAUUCAAAGAUUCUUUACAACCAUGCUUAUGGGGUUUGCAAGAAGAUGAACCUCAACCCCGUACGAUUAUGUGCAUGUCAUUUAAAUGGAUGCUGUUUCCAUUCACAUGUUUGGUUGGAUUUGGAAAUUUAUCAUUCAUAGUCUAUCCACUAACAGCUUACACAUCAUGCACUGAGUGACAUCUAUCUAUAAUGUUGAAAUUAGUGCAUACAACCAUACAACGUAAUAGAAUAAAGCAUAAGUAUGCCCAUGUCGUCCUCGGCCACCUUGUCCCCAAUGGUCUGCUAAGUGGUGGUCUCCACUACCGCAUCUGGUAUGUCGAGGUUACUGGCACAACCCGAGUCGGUGGCAUCUCAGAGAUGCUUUCAGCUUAGUAGACUGGGCAACAAUCUACUCCUUGGGCAUCUUCUUGCUUGUAAGAUUAAACAGUACCAAAUCCUGAUGCCCGUAGUAUGGGACCCACUAAAAAAAUUAGCCAUCCUCAAUCUAGGUAACUGAGUGAAACGCUUGUAUCGAGCGCUCGAAAAUAACCUAAUUACCAAAGUAACCUUAGUCAAAUUCCCUAGAGUUUCAAAGAUGUGUUCUACUUAAAGUUGUAAAAUUUACUAAUCGAAAGCAACCAAUUUUGUGGUGUGAGUUCCACGAUUUCUAUGAUCUAAUAAUUAAACUAAGAAUCAAAAGACAAUUAAACAAGAUUGCAAGACUCCACUGAAACUUUGGAAAACACUUAUAGAUGAAACUGCUUAGAUUUCAAAUCCCCUUAGGCUAUCCAGAUAAACAAAUGAUAUCAACUAUUCAAUUAAUGCAAAGCAAGAUAAACAUAAUUCACUGUCGCAAUUCUUCCCUACUUAGGUCACGUCCAUUCGAGCCAAGAAUUUGAAACCUGUACAACGAUAAAUCAAACAUAAUCGCACUCCCGACAGACUAGCCUAACUGAACCCUUCUAAGGGUUAACGACUAACUUAGUUGAUUAAUUUCGACAUUCUAAGACAAAUAGGCUCUUUCGAGACGAUGCAAGUCUAAAAAUAUCCCAUUCAAGAUGACUGAUGAGCGGAUUUUACCCCACUUUCAAAUACCCACUAGAUUUCUCUAGUGGGAUAGUAAAUCUCCCUAGGGUCUUCCUAUUUCUAUUACUCAAGUUGAUGUACUAACUAAACCAAGUAAUAGGUUGAAAUUGUUUUUAGAGUGUUUUAAGUAACUAAUUAACAACUAAGUAUGCAAUACUAAGUAUGAAUUCGAGAGAUUGAGUUUCAAAUAGGAAAUGAAGGUUGCUCGGAUUCGAAUCCACUACAGCUAGCAAUGUAUGAAUGAAUGACAAAUUAUCUCGGUUAUUCAGGUUAUAACGGCUCGGCAAUUUCCUAAUGUAGUCUUAGAUCACUCUCGCGCCUCUAAGCAUCUAUUUCGUCUAACUGUAGACUCCUCUCUCGAGCUAAUCUACACCUAAACAAAACGCAUUAAUUAUGUUCGACGAAAUGCCACAACGAUAAAUGUGCAAAGAGCCUAAACAAUUCGCUCCUCUCUCAAGCUAACGAAUAAUCUAGGGUUCUUCCUAAGCAGCCUAUCGAUCUAUGUUCCUUUUGGACCCACAAAUCAAUGCCAAUGAUUCAAACAAGACAGCCAGACAGAAUUAAAUCAGAAAUUAGGUUUUAGGAAGAAAACAUCAUAAGUCUAAAUAAACGUCGAUAACAAAACAAAACAUCCAUACAAAAGCUUAGCUAAAGCUUCCUCUCGUCCGAACAACACAUAAAGCUUAGCUACUCAUGGUUCGGGAAGUAAGAAGGGAAAAAGAAAUGAGAACAACCCGGAAAGACAACAUGAUCCGUCGAGAAUUCUCAAACCUAUCGCCGAUCUUCGCUCCUUCGCCAAUCGAUGAUAAUCUAUCGCUUCAAUCGGUCUCUGAGACUCUCUCUCUCUCUCUCUCUCUAAGAACUCGAAAAUAUGUGUAGAAUGAAUGAUCUCCCGUCCAAAGGGCUGCUAGGGCUUUAUAUAGACUCCUGGUCAAAAUCAGAGGCGGAAAAGGAUUUGAAAAUCCGUCUAGGAUGGAACACGCCGUGUUCCUGGCCGUGUUCCUCCCCUAUAAGUUUUCGCCCGAUUUCAUAACUGGAACACGCCGUGUUCCUCUCCAGUUACUCCAAGAGUUGGAACACGCCGUGUUCCUCUCCAGUCAAUCCAAAUCUGUCCGUUUUUGCUCCUGUUCAUCCCCAAACGUCGUACAUUGCCUGAAAAUGUAUCAAAAACACACCAAACAACAUAAUACGACCCCAAGGGGAGCUAACAUGUGCUAGAAAUAUAGAGUUUAAACACCUUUCAACACAGAUAAAGCACAGUUUACAACCAAAAAGGUGUGUUGAACAUACAACACGUCAAUGACCAGACAAGAACCAGAACCCAAUUGAAAUCAAUCAUAAACUGAAAUCCAUCCAAUUUGUAUAAAUCAAAAUAGUCAACCAAUCAUCUAUUCAAAAAGAAUCACCUACGGUUCAUCUAAUAUGAUCAUGAAGAACAAAUCAUUAUAGACAAAAGAAACCAUUGAAAUGAGGUUUACAAGAAGAAAUUUAACAACCUAAUUCUUCCAAUCGUCGUCGAACAUGCCAAUCCGAUCUCCCUGAAGUCAUUGUCUUCUCGUUGCUCAAAAGUCUCUAAAUUCUGCUCUAAAUUUUCGUCCAAAAGGGUCUCUCCCCAAAAUGAAAGGGAACCAGUCUUUAAAUAGGAGUUGAAGUUCUAUUUGUUGUUGGUUGUCACAAAACUUUACUAAACAUGUCACAAAGAUCACCGUAAAUGUGUGACAUUUGAGGCGAGCUUUGUGAAAAAAUCCAACACUUGUAAGUUUUAGUCAUUCGAUUGAUCCUAGCUCAUCCAUGUGUGUUGUAUUGCUCCCGACUAAUGCCUCACUGUCGUUAAGUAGCUGAAAUAUACAAAAAACACUCCAAAUGACAUAAAAUGGCCCCCGAGCGGGUCUGACACACGAAAUCAAGAUAGAAGCUUAAAAUGCAAAAAACACCCUAGACUUCUACCCACAACUAUACAACUAAGCAUGAAAGGUCACUUAAAUGAGGGCGAUGAAUGUCGUAAAUCAAACGUCAUCAAAUAACCCCACACUUAAGCUUUGCUUGUCCUCAAGUAAAAAAUUGAUCACAGCCAAGGUAAACAUCUAUAAUUGAUUCAAAAUACUUGACAAAAAUCUUAGUGAAUCCAUAUUCAUCAAUGUUCCCCUAAGUCCUUAAGCAUGUAAGUGAACCGUUAACAAUAAAGCCAAUUUAGGAAAUAAAAGCCCCACAAGAUGUUUUUCAACUUUCUACACAUCAUCAUGUAUAUUAGCAAUCCAGCUAUUCAGCCAAUAGCUGCUUCUAUCGGCUAAAAACUAUAGAUGGUUGGGCGUUGGGUUUAAGAUCGUUGAUUUCAAGAUAGAGUUGGCCACCAAAUCUGCCCAUCAAUUUUAAGUGUGGCCAGACAUAGAAAGAGAAUGACUUCAUACAAGAUAAAAAAAUCCAGAAUUAAGGAAUUCAUAACAUGACAGGUUCAGAAAAUUUAAACAACAAAAAGAAUGAUUCCGCAACAGAUAAAGAAAUCAGAAACUAAGGACUUUAUAACAUAACUGGAUCAGAAAAGUUAAAGAACAAAGUCAUAACCUUAUUUCCUACUUCAGGAUUACCCAACACUGCCUUCUUCUUCUUCUGACCAACUUGGACAAAGGUAUAACAUUUUCAUAACUCUGGUAUAACCAUAGCAUAACACAUUACCAACAACAUGUAAAAAUCACACAGAAACAGUACCGGUUUCUUAUCUGACUCUGAUUUUCGAUCAACGGGUUUCUUCUUAGGAGAAGCCUAACGAGGUAAAACGUCAAUUAAUAAUGCCAUUGGUUACUUGAAACCCAAUGAAAAAAAGAAGGGAAAAAAACUUACUAAAGGUGGUUCCUCUUCCGAAUCAGAACCCUUUAGAGGGGUCACCAGUUUCCUUUUCCGUUGUCUGCUUGAUAAUGGUUUGUUAGGAGAGAAAAAAGAGCCAUUCUUCAAUCUCGCCAUUGACAUCUUGCAGAUCUAGGGGACACACACAAAUAGAACCAUAGUUAGAAACACAACCUUAUUAUUUAUAUGGAAACUGAUAGAGUAGUUACAUGUGUGAGAAUGAGAAACCAUUUUCGUUCUAUGGUGAAGAAGGCCGAAGGUAACCAUCGAGAAGAAAGAAAAAAGGAAAGAAGAGAGAAUAGAGAAAUGUGGGAAGAGUGAGAUAAUGAGAGAAGGAGAGAGGUAAGGAUUAUUUUCUGUGUGAGAAGAGAGCCAGAUAGCUAUUACACGCCAUCUCUCCGCAAUUCCAAUUUUAAAUUCAAAACAUUUCAAAUUAAACAUAAAUGAUAUUAAUAAAAUAAAAAAUGAAAUACACCCCCCCCCCCNNNNNNNNNNNNNNNNNNNNNNNNNNNNNNNNNNNNNNNNNNNNNNNNNNNNNNNNCCCUCAUAUUGGUCUAUCGGCUGCAGCCGAUGGAAGCAACUAUUGGUUGAUUAGUCCUUUUGGCAUAUUAGAAUACCCAUCUUGACUUCUCACUAGGUGCACAACUUAAAGAUGAAGUUGAAAAACAUUCACUCUCAAAGGUUGUUUGAUUUUUGUAUUUGGAGGGGGAUUUUGGGAGGGAAUUGGUGGAGCCAAGUGAUUUGGACAAAAUCCCUUGUUUGAUUUUUUAAAAUGGCAGCGAUUUGAAAUCACCACAUGUGGUCCCAUGGUGAUAUGAAAAGUGAUUUGAAAUCACCAUGAGCUCUGUGUGACUUGAAGAUCCCAAAUAGUGAUUUCGGCACAAAAUGAUAUAUUAACCAAAUUAAAACUUAGUAAUUAUAGAAAUGCCACUAAAAGUAUGAAGAAUUGAGAGGACUAAUUUUAGAACUAGAGGGCAAUCUAGUCUUUUAUUGAAUAAGUUAAUUUCACUUUUUUAUUUGAAAUGCUAGAAUCACUUUCAAUUUCGGAAAACAAAUAAGAUAUUUAUGAAAUCACUAGCUAUUUCAAAUCACCUUCUUCCAUAUCUCAAAUUCAAACGACGUCUCAGUGUUUAUUCACACAUUCAUUUUUUGAGGGUUGCUUCUAACACUUAAACGUCAACCAAUUUUACAAUUACAUCAUGCUGUUUCACAGAAGUCAAGAGGUCUUUGAUUAGGGUUAUUUUGUGGAAAAUAUAGAAUAAGAGGAGAAAUGAGAUAUAUGGUUAUGUACAAACAAUGGAAGAUGACUCGGUCGACUAUGAUUUGGAGCUAUAACUACAUACAACAUCAAAAUACUAUGCAAAGAUCCAAUAUAUAUAAGAGCUUUAUACUAGCUCGUCUUCCUUCAACAAACUACUACUAGUUCAAGCUUUUCAGCUCGUUAUUCUACUUAUUUAUUUCCAAACUUUUCUUUUUGCACUUUUUGUGUAAAGGGAGGAGGCAAAUGUCGCACCUAAAGUCAUUACGGGUAUGAUUUUGAUGCAUAACAUGAGGUUGUUGUUCUUAUGGAUUCUGGUUCUACUCAUUCUUUCAUCUCUAGUUCUUUUGCUCACAAAUUGGGCAUGGUACCGACUCGUUAAGGGCAAAACCUAGGAGUGAGGACACUAGUGGGGGAUACUUUGAUAGUAGAUUUUGUGAUUAGGGAGGGUAGUAUACUAGUAAAAAGGUAUGAGUUUGAGGCAGACUUGAUACUUCUUCCUUUCGAGGAGUUUGACAUAAUUAUGGGCAUGGAUUGGAUGUCCAAGAACCGAGCCAAUCUAAGCUGUCACAAUAAGGAGGUCAUAUUUGAAAGUAAGGGCCAAGGGAUUGCUUUGUUCUAGGGAAUUCAUUGCCCCAUUCCUAAAAGUCUUAUAUCUAUAACAAGGUCGUUCAUAUUAAUCAAAGAAGGUUGUGAAGCUUACCUAGCUAAUGUAACGGAGGCACCAACACUAAGACCUGAGGAUGUCCCAGCGGUGAGAGAAUUCUUGGAGGUGUUUCCUGAAGACCUUCCUUGGCUUCACUACAAAAAAUUGCUACUUUAACAGCGGAUAUAUAACAACGGCCAGACACCCGCUGUUAAAUAUUCCGUUUAAGAGCGGCUGAACAGCCUAAUUUAACAGCGGUUUUGAUGUGGCCGCUGUUAACUGAAUUAAUUUAACAGCGGUUCUAAAUUAGCCGCUGUUAAAUGUGGACCAUAUUUACGUUGUCGUUUCUGACAACAUCGAACAACGAAUAUUUUAUACAAACCGAUGUUAAAUUAAAUGAUUUAACAGCGGUUUUUGCCUAACCAUUAUUACAUAAUCAUAUUUCGAACCACUAAUUUGACGUGAAAAUAGGUAUAAAACUCAUUGAAUUUACUAUAACUAGCCACAUAUAACUAUUUUACUGCCAAUUCAACCAUAUUUAGGUCAAUGGUGUAGACCGAUGUCCGUACUACACUCGUAUAUACAUACGCAUAUCAAAGUCGUAACAACACUAAUAACUUCAUCUUAUAUGUAUACAUACACAUUCACUGUUUAUAUCAAAGGACUCCGUAAUAAGCAUGUUGUAUAAUUCGACAAGUUCAUGUAAUUAGAAAACCGAAUAUGAAAAAUCGGGAUGAGUUACGCUUAUAUAUGUACGUACUAUAGUAAUAAACAAAUCGAAAUGGUAAUACCAUCUUUUGAAGUUUUGAUAACCAAAACCCAUUUAUAAAUCUUUUGAAGGUUUGAUAACCAAAAUCCAUUUAUAAAUUUUCAGGUUUAAGAAUACAACAUAUAUGACCAUGUACCGUAAUGGUUAAUGGUUCUUCCAAUCCCCCUUCUUCUUCUUCAUGUGACUAGGUUUGAAUCACAGCCCUUGCUUAUUUUAGUUUCAUUUAACAGUGGCCCUUGUAUAGCCGAUGUUAAAUUAUUUCAUUUAACAACGGUGCUCUAAAGGCCACUAUUAAAUAGUUUCAUUUAACAGCGAUUCUCUACAGGCCGCAGUUAAAAUUUUGAACUUAGCACAAAUUGACGCGUCAUUCAUUUAAAGUAACGAUGUCGUUUAUUCGUUUAAUUUAACUGUGGUUUCCUUGUAGCAGUUGUUAAAUGUGUGAUAUAAAUAACAGCAGCCCUCCUUUAUCCACAAAGGAGAAGAAGAGAAGAAGGCAGCACGCGGAUGAGAAGAAGAGAAGGAGGAGGAGAAGAAGAAGAAGUAGAAGAAGAAGAAGAAGAAGAGGGUGCUAAUCACUCUCCAAUCAUCUCCAAGUCUAGAUUUCCAACUCUCCAAUCUCAAUCUCCAACUCCAAUCUAGGUAUUUGAAUG
Molecule: long non-coding RNA, 50783 nt
Filed under: Linum usitatissimum (flax)
Lineage: Eukaryota; Viridiplantae; Streptophyta; Magnoliopsida; Malpighiales; Linaceae
Description: long non-coding RNA (LUSI_LNC002366)
Source: RNAcentral